AUUACUAUACUACUUCACUUAAAUAUUUAUUCGACACACAAAAAUAAACCAUUCGUGUGAAUGUUUCCCAAACACAUUUGGGGCCGAAGCAUUCGAGCGGGCGUACCACUCCAAUUACCUGGUACACAUAAUUGAAGACUAUAGUAUGAAAAUUAAUGUUUUAUGUUUUUGUCACCUAAAUUUUUAAUAAAAUGCAGUUGCAGUUUGGUUGUCAUUGUUCUGUUGAUCCGUUCAUUCCGCGUCCUGUAUUUGGCUAUCACAAUUUCAAUCUAUGAAAAUUUGAAAUCCGUAUGGUCAAAAUUAUAUUUUAAAACCACAUUGCUAGAGAAUAAUUAAAAAAAUAAUAAUCUUCAUGUGGAAUUUAUAGAAAUUAAUGAUAUACAUUUCAGGAAAACUUAGCAUGAAGUAUAUUAUUUUAAUGUGAUGAUUUUAGAAAUACAAACCGAGACGCGGUAUGGGAUAUGGUCCAUUACAAGUAGGCACAAUGGUCCACUAAUAAUUGUUAUUACGACAACAGAAUUAAUUGCCUAUUUAAAACGAAAUGAAUCAUCGAAGAACAUACUAGAUCUUUUUCCAAUUUACAACCAAAAAAAACAUUAUUAGGUGAGUAGUAAAAAGAUUAAGGUUAUCAGAAACUAACUGUAGUAGUAUGUUGUGUGAAAUUCUUUUGUAUUUCUUAUUAAGCCAAGGGUGCCCUUUCAAUGCAACGUGAUAAACGCCAAAAACGAUGAUAUGAACAAUUAUAAACUCGUUGAGAGCAUUGAACUCGGAUAAUAAAUCAUCUUUUAUAUACAUCGUAGAUAACAAACAAACACGUAAUUAAAUUUGACGUAUAGCAAAAGACUUGAAGAAUAAAACGUCAAGUUAAAGAUAAUUUUGGUAUAUAUGAGAAAGGUAUCGACAAAAACCAUAACGCUAUAGAUGAUUGUGAUUUGACAAAAACACCCUCAAAUCAUUGUUUUCAGAGUUUUUUUAGAUAAGGUACAGAUAAGAAACCACCUCUAAAAAUCAAGCAAUAGAUCUCAUCGCUUAAAAGAAGAGAGAGAUCUUCACUUGUAUGUGUCCCACUGAUUCCAACACAAUGUCCCAGAACUUGCCACGUGUCGUUCAUUUCAAAAGAUUGCAGUACUGUUGUCCCUAGAGAAUCAUUAUCUCCCUCGCUGUAAUAUCUUUAUGCUCCUGUCACUUUCUGUCUGUACCCAAAAGAAGUAAUGAACCUCUCUCAUCUUCUUCUUCUCUGUUUCUUUCAUGUUUUGUGAGUUGUUUCUCAACAAUUUUCUGGUCUCUUAGAGUGAGAGGAGAGAGAUAGAGAGUUGUGUUGGGCGUGGAACUUGGACUAGUUCCACAUAUCAGGUUAUAUAGAUCUUCUCUUUCAACUUCUGAUUCGUCCAGAAGCUUUCCUAAUCUGGUCAGUAGUACUCUUUUUAUACGGGUUUUUGGUUUUAUAAGAUGUGGCUAUAUUUGGAAAUAACUAUUUUGCAAGCUUUCCUAGAUUGCCAGAAUAUAAAAAAAGAUGUUUAACAAGAGAACGGACUCAUGGACUUGCUUUAAAUUUUAAUUAUUUUAAAAUCAUUCUAUAAUGAUUAGAGUAAAUAAACUAUUAGGACUCUGAAUUAUAAAAUUCGAUUUUAUAUAUGCUCCUCCUUGUAUCUCUUAAUCAUAAGUUAUCAUUAGCUCUGUUCACUAGUGCUAUAAAAUAUAUUCUGAGGUUAAUAAAACUUUUUUUUCUUUUUAUUUUGAAAUGUCUCCAGAGAUCUGACAUGGAACACCAAGGUUGGAGUUUUGAGGAGAAUUAUAGUUUGUCCACUAAUAGAAGAUCUAUCAGGUAUUAUUUAAUAAUCUUUGAUCUAAUGUUUUCAUUCAUUAAAAAAAAAACUUUAUAAUAUAGUCUGUGUGUGUGUGUAUUGAUGUCUAGGCCACAAGAUGAACUAGUGGAGUUAUUAUGGCGAGAUGGACAAGUGGUUCUGCAGAGCCAAACUCAUAGAGAACAAACCCAAACCCAGAAACAAGAUCAUCAUGAAGAAGCCCUAAGAUCCAGCACCUUUCUUGAAGAUCAAGAAACUGUCUCUUGGAUCCAAUACCCUCCAGAUGAAGACCCAUUCGAACCCGACGACUUCUCCUCCCACUUCUUCUCAACCAUGGAUCCCCUCCAGAGACCAACCUCAGAGACGGUUAAGCCUAAGUCCAGUCCUGAACCUCCUCAAGUCAUGGUUAAGCCUAAGGCCUGUCCUGACCCUCCUCCUCAAGUCAUGCCUCCUCCAAAAUUUAGGUUAACAAAUUCAUCAUCGGGGAUUAGGGAAACAGAAAUGGAACAGUACUCGGUAACGACCGUUGGACCUAGCCAUUGCGGAAGCAACCCAUCACAGAACGAUCUCGAUGUCUCAAUGAGUCAUGAUCGAAGCAAAAACAUAGAAGAAAAGCUUAAUCCGAACGCAAGUUCCUCAUCAGGUGGCUCCUCUGGUUGCAGCUUUGGCAAAGAUAUCAAAGAAAUGGCUAGUGGAAGAUGCAUCACAACCGACCGUAAGAGAAAACGUAUAAAUCACACUGACGAAUCUGUAUCUCUAUCAGAUGUAUGCUUCCUUUAAUUCUAACUCAUGAUAAUUACUUCUUGAAAACGUAAUCUUGGUCUAUCUCAGAGAGUAAUACAUAAUACAUUUUGCAGGCAAUCGGUAACAAGUCGAACCAACGAUCAGGAUCAAACCGAAGGAGUCGAGCAGCUGAAGUUCAUAAUCUCUCCGAAAGGGUACUUCAUCGGUUCGUCUAUAUAAUAUAUAAUAUAUAGUUUAAUGUUAGAGAAUCGUAUAACAUUUAUACAAAGAAAACAGAUACAAAACUCUGUUUUUUAUUUUCUUCUUUUCAUAACUUAAAUAGAGGAGGAGAGAUAGGAUCAAUGAGAGAAUGAAGGCUUUGCAAGAACUAAUACCUCACUGCAGUAAAGUGAGUUGAUACAAAUCAAAUCUAAAAGUGAAUCAGAUUAAGAAAUGAAGAUUGAUUCAUUCAUUGGUGUGUUUUUGCAGACUGAUAAAGCUUCGAUUUUAGACGAAGCCAUAGAUUAUUUGAAAUCACUUCAGUUACAGCUUCAAGUGAUGUGGAUGGGGAGUGGAAUGGCGGCGGCGGCGGCUUCGGCUCCGAUGAUGUUCCCCGGAGUUCAACCUCAGCAGUUCAUACGUCAGAUACAGAGCCCGGUACAGUUACCUCGAUUUCCGGUUAUGGAUCAGUCUGCAAUUCAGAACAAUCCCGGUUUAGUUUGCCAAAACCCGGUACAAAACCAGAUCAUCUCCGACCGGUUUGCUAGAUACAUCGGUGGGUUCCCACACAUGCAGGCCGCGACUCAGGUAAGGCCAAUACGAAGCCGUGUUUAUUAAACGACGAUUUUGGUAAAAUGUUUUUUGGGUUUACUACAUUAAUACGAGAUAAGAAAAAAUGUUAAACCGACGUAGUUUUAGUUGACACGUUGUGUGGUUUUUUAUUAGAUGCAGCCGAUGGAGAUGUUGAGAUUUAGUUCACCGGCGGGACAGCAAAGUCAACAACCGUCGUCUGUGCCGACGAAGACCACCGACGGUUCUCGUUUGGACCACUAGGUUGGUGAGCCACUUUUUUACUUCCUUAUUUUUGGUAUGUUUCUUUUUUAUAUCUAUCUUUCUGAACAUACUUAAAACGUUCAAGGAUGUAUUAUUAUAGAGUAAACGUGCAACUUCAUUACGUUAUUUUCUGUAUAUGUGAGUUUAUGUAUGUCAAAAUGACAUGAUGAGAUUUUUUGUAAACAACAUCUUAAAAACAGGACAUGUGAUUUUUGUAAUCGUAAAAACUUUGGGAUGCAGUUUAUUUUCUAAUCAAAACAAGGAUAUAUCUAAGUAAUCGAAAUUUUUUUCGAAAAUAGAACUAGAUGACACUUAUAGAUUAUAGAUCACACCUAAUUUUGAAGAUGUAUCUAAAAGUCCAUUCAAUUUUUCUCUGUUCCCCUAAUAAGAAAUCAUAUGUUCAUAUUCAAAAAAUAAGAAACACAAAAAAAAACUUUAAGAAAAACACAGAUGAUCAACCGUCUGGCUAGAGUUUGGUAAAAUAUUAAUAUCUUAUGAUUUCAUAUUGUUCCAUAAAUAAAUAAAAAAUCAUAACAUAAGCUUUUCUUGCUGAUUGUCUAAAAUUAUGUAUAGAUGGAAAAAGCCAAAUCACAUGUGAUGGAGCCAGAUUUGAGUGAGAGUCAUGUGUCAAUUGUCAAAAACAUCGACAUUAUAAGUCUUUAAGCCAUGUGCAUACUGGUCAGAAUCUAUUUAGCAAUAAUUGAGUUAAAUAUCUUAGAUAUUUUUGCAUACUGUUUUCAUAUAUAAAUUUAUUCCAAAGUUUGAAAUAGUCGAUCGAAAACACUUAACAAUAGUAAAAGUUGAACCGAUCAAAGGUUGGAUACAUACAUUCAGACAGAGACACCCAUAUCAUCAAUCAUGUUUCAAUCUUCGUGGAACAUCCACAUAACAUUAUUUUAGUGGCAAAAUAAAAAAUGUGUUAAAUAUCACUAGAAAUACAAAAAAAUAAAAAUAAUAUAUAAUAUAUGCUUCAUCAAUAGGUGUCUGGUCUUCAAAUCAUGUAAAUCAUAUACUAUUAAAUUAAAAUGCUAAGAUGAGUUUCUUCCAUUUCAUUCAAGAUUUGGUUUGGAGCAGGAGUAGUUCACGGAUAUGAUUUUAGUGGAUUGUUUAUAAUCGUGACUUUUGUUUUGUGUUUGAUCGACUUGAUCGACCCGGCCAACUUAUGAUCUUCCGUAAACUAAAGUCAAAAGCAAUAAUAUUUCUUUCUUUUUUUGUAUGAAAAAAGCAAUGAUAUUUCACUGAUCUCUACGGAGUAAAAUCUCUUUCUUGGACUUCAUUUGGCAUAGAUUCUUUUAGUUCGUUUCACAUUCUCUUUCAGUACCAGAGAUUUCUUCUGUAUGUUUUAAAUCUUGGUCAUACCGUCUUUACAGCACUAGCCUCUAGUAUCACAAUAGAUAAUGAUUUUCUAAUACCAAAACCAUAUAGUCACUCAUCUGGACUAGAUAGAUUUUGAAGUCCUCUAGUUUCUAUGUAGUGAGAUCCUCCAUUCAUUUCUCUUGACUUUCGUGAGGUUUGAGAAUCCAGUCAUGUAACCCAUAGCAAAUGAUUCGACAACUGUAUUACCCAAUGUCACCAUCUCAAAUAAAGAAGAGAAAUAGGAUUAUAGGAAUACUGAUCUUCCAUGUGAUCUAAUUUUGUAUAUAUCGCACACUUAUCAAAAUCCAUUGUAAAUUGUAGUUUUUUGCUUGAAAAGAAACGCAAAUAGUAUCAGCAGAAAAAAGCUACACAAAUAGUACCACCACUUUUUUGUUUAUCUUUAGAAAAACAUUUUUAUUACUAUCCACACAAAAAACUACUAAGAAAGUUAUAACAUCAUGUCAAUAAUUCAAAAUCAUUAUCAAUGUCAAAAAAAUAUUAGCUUUAACAAUAACUAAACUCAGCCAUCAAGCCCAGAUAAUUGUAUUUAAGUAUUUGAGUUUUUAAAUUGCAUUUGAGUAAUUUACUCGUAAAUCAUAGCUCAUGGAAUUAAACUAAAAAUUUCUUAAAAAAAGGAUAAAAAUCCAGUAAACGUUGGAAUUUUAUGGUAAAAGUUCGUCUUCAAUUCUUACGAAACUCAUCAUAGCUAUCAAUAUCAUACCUAUUAAAAUCAUUAGAAUCGUCUAGAAACCUUUUUUAAAAGAAUUUACAUCGUCAGGUCUUAAGAAACAAAAUAUUUAUUAUUUACCAGAUACAGACAUAAAAGCUGACGUGUUGACAUUUUAAUUUGAUGGAAAACGUAUAAAUGCACGACACGUGCUCCUACUGGACCACUUGAUAAGUUACGUAACUUAUCAAGCUUACCGAAACGAACACGUGAUAACAGAGAACUAAAUUCACAAUUUUUGUUAUUGAUAAAAGAAAAUAUUUAAAUUUUGAAAAAGUAAUAUUAACAUAUACUAGAAGCUAUAUAAUUAGCAAAUAAUAUAGAAAUGAACUACUUAUCUAAUUUUAGUUCUAAAUUAUUUACCAAUAAUUUGUUCAUAUCUUGAAAUUGUUAAUUGUAUAUCUUAAAUCUUUGACUGAAUUUAACUCUUUUAAUAUUAAAAUAAUUAAAUAAUUAAUCUUAAGGUAUUUAAUAAAUAAAAAUUACUAAAAAAACUACAAUAAAAGAUCUAUAUCCAAUAAGAAAAUUAAUAAUUAUAUUGAUAAUUAGGGAGCAUAUGCGUUAUUAUAAAUUACAACCUAACCUACUUUACCGACCCAAAGCCUAAAAAAUCCGACCUUUUUUUGUUUUCUCUCUCUAGAAGUCUCUCUGUUUUCAUCUUUCUCUCUCUCUCUCUAGCUCUUCUUCCUCGUUUCUGGCUUUUCUGGGAAUUUUGAUCCUUUGGCCCCCAUUGCUCGCUUGAAUUACGAAUCAGAUAUCGCCGAUCGUCGUAGAUCUGCGUUGAUACUGUCCGGCUGAGUAAACAGGGUGAACAAAAACCAAAAACAGAGAGGGGGUUUAAAAAUCCUGAAGAAAAUCGCAUGAAUUUGUUUGGAAGCCUGAUUUUUUCAUCUUCGAUUUCGAGCCACUUCACGACUUGUCUUCUCAUCUUUAUUCUUCAUUUCUCUCCCCAGCUUAAUAGUAAUAAUAAUAAUAAUAAUAGUAAUCGUAAUUCCAAUAAUCUCGAGAGUAAUCGUUUGAUCAAUUGAAAAAAAAAUCAUGGAGUCCAGGAAAAACUCUGAUCGUCAAAUGCGUAGAGGUACUGUUUUCUUCAACCUCCAUCGAAAAGUCUGUUACUUUUUUGUGAAAUCGCUUACGGAUUGUUAUCGUUGAUGUAUAGGAAGGAUCUAGGGUUCUUACUCUAGAUUAUAAUCUGGGUAAUUUGGUUUAUCAAACAAAAUUUGAUUUUUUUUUUAAUGGGUCCUCAAUUUUAUCCCUCGUGCUGAAUUCUCUGUCGGUGAUUUGAUUCCUUCGUGGCGUUUACUUGUUUGGAUGUAUCUGCUGAUUGCCACAAGUUUUGUUUUUGUGGGGUUGUUUAAUUCUGAUAAUCACUAUUGUUUCUUUGUUAGAAGAAUUGAUACUUUAUUGGACUUUGGACGGUCGUUAAUUCGUGUGCUUUGUUUUCAUAUAGCUAAUUGCUUUUCAGCUGGUGAGAGGAUGAAGACAAGGUCGCCCUCCGUGAUUGUGAUCGGAGGUGGUUUCGGUGGGAUUUCAGCUGCUCGCACUCUUCAGGAUGCUUCCUUUCAGGUUUGUGAUGUUUCAUGUUUUAUACAAUAUAUCCUGAUAGCUGAUUUUGAUAUCUCUUUCUCACGGUGUGGUUCUUGGUGUUUAGGUUAUGGUACUGGAGUCCCGUGACAGAAUUGGUGGACGAGUUCACACUGAUUACUCAUUUGGUUUUCCUGUUGAUCUUGGUGCAUCAUGGUAAUCUCACGGCUCUUUCAUCCUGUCAUUAGAUGAUGUUUUGGUUUUGGUUUUUGGUUAACUUUAGGCUAACACAGCAACAUCGUUAUGUCACAGGCUGCAUGGAGUAUGCAAGGAGAAUCCUCUCGCACCAGUUAUUGGAAGACUUGGACUGCCCUUGUAUCGUACUAGCGGUGACAAUUCCGUCCUGUAUGAUCAUGAUCUCGAGAGGUUUGCUUGAAUAUUUCGAUUUUGUUACCUCCAUCUUUUUAUUCUUGUUUGACACCUUAAAACUCACAGUGCAAUUCUUUUGUUUCUGUAGCUAUGCUCUGUUUGAUAUGGAUGGCAACCAAGUUCCUCAAGAAUUGGUAACUCAGAUUGGCGUAACGUUUGAGCGUAUUUUGGAAGAGGUAUGUCCUUCACAUUCAUUUAGAUUUCUUCUUUAUUCCUAUUCUCGUAUUUCUUGAUGUUGCAAGUCUUUGAUUGAUGCUCAUGCUAACUAGAUUCGUCUAUUGCAAACACAGAUCAAUAAAGUCAGGGAUGAGCAGGAUGCUGACAUUUCAAUUUCUCAGGCUUUCUCAAUUGUCUUUUCUAGGAAACCCGAGCUGAGGUUUGUAUACAUAAUGUCUCAUUUUCUCAAUUUCUUUAGGCAAUGCACUUUUGCAAGCUUGGUUUCAUGGUUGAAUUUUGAAUUUUCACAUCCAGGUUAGAGGGGCUUGCACACAACGUACUUCAAUGGUAUGUAUGCCGCAUGGAAGGAUGGUUUGCCGCAGAUGCUGAAACCAUCUCUGCAAAGUGUUGGGACCAGGUUAGUUACAUUCUUUCUCUCGUAGUUAAGAGUUUUUUUUGUAUAGACUGCUUCUUGAAUUUUUGGUUUAACACUCCGAGAAAUGUGCAGGAGGAAUUGUUGCCUGGUGGACACGGUCUUAUGGUUAGAGGGUAUCGUCCUGUCAUCAAUACUCUGGCGAAAGGUCUUGAUAUCCGAGUAGGCCACAGGUAAGCUUUUGCGUUUUUCAAGAGUUAUGGCAUUCGUUUAGUGUUUCACAGUCAUAACCUCGUGUUUCUCCUUCUCUCAGGGUUACUAAGAUUGUCAGGCGGUACAAUGGAGUGAAGGUAACGACAGAAAACGGGCAAACUUUUGUUGCGGAUGCUGCAGUCAUUGCUGUCCCUCUUGGAGUUUUAAAAUCGGGAACCAUAAAGUUCGAACCUAAGCUACCUGAGUGGAAACAAGAAGCAAUCAACGACCUAGGAGUAGGUAUUGAGAACAAGAUCAUACUACAUUUUGAGAAAGUCUUUUGGCCGAAAGUAGAGUUUCUAGGAGUGGUAGCUGAAACCUCCUACGGUUGCAGUUAUUUUUUGAACCUGCACAAGGCCACGGGUCAUCCGGUUCUGGUUUACAUGCCGGCUGGUCAGCUUGCCAAAGACAUUGAGAAAAUGUCUGAUGAAGCAGCUGCAAAUUUCGCCGUCUUGCAACUCCAGAGAAUUCUUCCCGAUGCAUUGCCUCCGGUACAGUAUCUCGUGUCGAGGUGGGGAUCUGAUGUGAAUUCAAUGGGAUCUUAUAGCUAUGAUAUCGUGGGCAAACCUCAUGAUCUCUACGAGAGGCUUAGGGUUCCAGUGGAUAACUUAUUCUUUGCCGGUGAAGCGACGAGCUCGAGCUUCCCGGGCUCGGUUCACGGCGCUUAUUCAACUGGAUUGAUGGCAGCUGAAGAUUGUAGGAUGCGAGUUCUGGAGCGGUAUGGUGAGUUGGAUCUGUUCCAGCCUGUGAUGGGCGAGGAAGGACCUGCCUCUGUACCUCUUCUUAUAUCUCGUCUCUAAACUCCAUCAGUUAUCGUUUACUAGAAGGAACCUCAAGUGAUGAUUGUCUUAAUAUGAAACUAAAAUUAUUCUCGUGUCGGAUCGUUUAAAACAUUCCCAGUCUUAUUUUCUCAGUGUUUUUAAUUCAAUAAAUUGGAACAUUAUAUCCUUGUGAUAUUAUUUAUAUAUGAUAAUCAUCUUUAAGAAUUCAAGUACUAUUUUCUUUUCUCACUUGUGCUAACUAAUAUAAACACCAAUCUUGAAAGAGGUUAAAUUGAAUACAAUAAGAAGAAAAAAUACAAAAUGAAUAAAAUCAGAUUUAAAGGACCGAUGUUGCAAAAGGUAAACCACCGUGUUUUGUAAAUAUGAGUAUCUUCAGCGGUAUAAUAAUAAAUUUCAUAACUGGAGAAGAAGAUAAGAGUGUGGCACAGAGCUUUAUCCUCUCUCAGAGUUUCUUCUCCUCUGUGAAUCUCCGACAAUGGCGAUAGCUAUGGCGGUUGUUUCUUUCCCAUCUCUGCUCAACAAAACAACCUUAUCCUCUUCACUCUUCACUCCCACUUUCCUCCCGGCGAAAUCCUCUUCACUUCUCAUCAAAUCAUCACCAAAAACCAGAUUCGUGGUUUCAUCAUCCAUGGAAGCUGGAAUCGGAGUAAUGGGGUCAAAACUCGGGAUGAUGAGUUUCUUCGAAGAAGACGGCACAGUAGUUCCAGUAACAGUCGUCGGAUUCCGCGAAGGUAACAUCGUAACCCAAAUCAAAACCCUAGCCACAGACGGUUACGACGCGGUUCAAAUCGGUUACCGUCGUGUACGCGACAAAAAGCUAACUAAACCGGAAACCGGUCAUCUCCAAAAAGCCGGUACAAUCCCAAUGAGACAUCUCCAAGAGUUCAGAUUAACAAACAUCGAAGGAUUCGAACCGAACCAGAAGCUUGUGUUCGAUGAGAUAUUCAAAGAAGGUGAUCUCGUUGAUGUAGCUGGAACCACAAUUGGUAAAGGGUUUCAAGGAGGAAUCAAAAGGCAUCAUUUCAAGAGAGGUCAGAUGACUCAUGGUUCCAAGAGUCAUCGAGCUUUGGGUUCGAUUGGUGCUGGUACUACUCCGGGAAGAGUUUAUAAAGGGAAGAAGAUGCCUGGAAGAAUGGGAGGGACGAGGACAAAGAUUAGGAAGCUUAAGAUUGUUAAAGUUGAUAAGGAGCUUAAUGUUGUCAUGAUCAAAGGUGCUUUGCCUGGUAAGCCUGGGAAUCUUCUUCGUAUUACUCCCGCUAAAAUCGUCGGAGUUAACAUUCCCAAGAACUAGUAGAGAAGAGACUCUGUUUUGUUUUGUAAUGUUGACUUGUGUUUAUCCAUUCCUUGAAAAUUUGUAUCGAAUUGCUAAAUCACAGUUUCUUUCUUAGAAUUGGAGUUUUUGUAUAAGUCGGAAGUAUUUCUAUGCUAAUGUUCUUGAAUUGUGAUUCAACUGCGAUUACAAAACUCGAAAGCGUAUCCAAAAUUCAGCAUCUAAAGUUCUAAACAUAAAGAACUAACGAACAAUGUAAUAUAUAUUUAGUUUGAAGAAAUUAAGAAGGUUUAAAAUUGUACAUGAGAUGACAGACAAAAAAUGAACAUAUGAAUAUAAAUCUUUAUGAUGGAUUUUUAAAGAAUGGUUGAGAAGCUUUCAAUAGGAUCAGACUCUUCAAGCAUAGAAGCAGCUUGGAAGCAAUCAGUAGCAUCAGCUAUACGUCCAUCAGAUUUAUGAACCAUUCCUAAGUAAUACCAAGCUUUUCGGUUUGUUGGAUCGAUCCUCAAUGCAUCAGAGAGCAAACUUCUAGCCACGGGGAGAGUUGGCUGAUGAUCUUUCCCUCUUUCGGACAAUAACGCUCCAACCGCUACUUUGCAAGGAACCGAUGAUCCGUCUAGUAAUAAACCGUCCAAGAAAGCUGCUAGCGCGGGUUUGAACUCCUUUCGUCCUUCCCACAUUCGACCUGAUCAUUCCCAAAGAUUCAAACCAAAUUUGAGUAAAUCAAGUAAUGGAUGAUUCUAAGAGAUUAGUUAAAUGGCUUCUUGUUCUUGCCUUCUGUAUGCAACAUUGAAGCAGAGUAUUGUUUCAGCUCUCCGGCUUUUUUCAGACAGACUUCUACGUCGUUCCAAUGCGAAAGGCUUGAGUAAAGAUAAGCCAAGCCAUGCCACACUUCAAACUCAUUCACUUUGUCUUCCUCCAUCUGUGUUAUUGUACAAGUUCUUCAAUAAAAAAAAAAAAAGGUUUUGAUUGAUGAUCUCAAUAGAUUAGAGAACAAAAGAGAUUUUGAAACCUGAGAAAGAGUUCUGAGAGGUCCGAAAGAUUUCCUUUGCGCUUGAACCAAUGCAAGAAGGUAACGAUAAGUCUCAACGGCUUCUGUUGGAUUUGACUGAGAGAUUUUCAGCUUUGCUUUGAGUCUCAAGAGAGGUCCCUGAUCCCACUUUGCAGUUUCAUCUAAAGCAGCAUCAGUCACAACUUCUGCUUCUGAAAACCGUUGUUGAGCUGACAAAACAAGCGCGAGAAAUCUCCAUCCUUUUAACACUGACCCUCCCGUUGCAUCGAUGAACUCUUUGGCGUAACGGGAAGCAGCUUUUAAGUUCCGUUGCUCAGCGUAUUGAACACCUAACUCAAAGAUCAAAUCAGGAUUAUUGUGCUCAAAAGCUAUAGCUCCAUCUAAUGCUUUCAAUGAUUCUGAUUGCAGCCGAGAUCUUUCAAAAUCCGAUGUCGGAACCUUCGCUUGUUUCCCUAAACAAAGUCCUAACAUCCUCAAACCAACGCCUUUCAAAUGCUCAUCCAUACCUUGAGCAUUGUUUAUCGCUCUCUGCGCAUAACCCGUACCUUCAGCAGCUAAAGAAGGCUCUUCACUGCAAAGCUUAGCAGCUAACAAAAGCGCCACAAGAUCAUCGGGUUGUUCGUGUUUAUGCAGAGACUUUCUAAGAAGGUUAACUGCAGCACUGUUUUGACCUGCUGCACUAUAAGAAAGAGCCAAAGUGUUCCAACGCUCAAUACGGCUAAACACACCAGGCAUUACUUCUUCAAGCUGCUUGGCGAGAACCGCGGUCUGACUACAUAAAGAUAACGCAAAGGUAAGGUGCUCAAACACAGACGGAUCCCAUUUCGCUUUCCCGAGGUUAAACUUCUUUAAAAGAAUCAUUAGAAGAAGAAUGGCUUCUUCUAUGUUGUUUCUAGGUAUGUACGAUCCCUCUAUCUGAGAACCUAAACUCGGUGGACUCGCUUCGACUCCAGAAUGUAAAAGAAAGACUGCAAAAUCUUUUUGAAUCCUUGCACAACAAUCAUUAUCAAGAUUCCAUUGGCUUAAAAGCGCGCGUCUAUAAGCAGAUAUGGCUUCUUGAUAAUCACCAGAUUCUUUCCAUAGCGCAGGAAGUAGUUCAACGGCGUGGCUAACGGUUUCUUGAAGUUUGUUAUCCACUUGAGCAUCUGGUAUCCCUUGCUGAAAUAUCUUCUCAACAGAAUCAAGAACACUCUUGCAUUCAUGAGCAGCCUCUACAAGACCAAAACCCAGCAAGGGAAGAUUUAGAUUUAAAGACUGUACCAAGAUCAAUGCCUCAGAUUCACAUUUUCAAAGGUGAAAGGGAAUGAUACCAGUUAUUCUCCCAAGCUUUUGAAGGGAUUUGGCUUUCAAGUAGAUAGCUUCAAGGACCAAGUUAGCAGCAUGCUGAGAAACUGAUUGCUGCGGUUCACGGGGACGGUUUUUCUUAGUAGCCGGUUUCUCAAGAGGCACGGAAACCUGUAACCGCUGGAUAGCUGCUUGAAGGUCGAUACCUUCAAAGACACGAAGUGCGCCUUCUAAAUUCCCUCUUUGGUAUUCCAAUCUUCCAAGAAGUGCUCUUGCUUCCUGUAACCACAAAAACAAAUAAAAUCUAAUCAUUUACUUAUAAAAGUUGGUUUAAUGGAGUUUGGAAAACCACAAAAACAAACCUCGAAAUUGAGAGAUAAUCCUUCUCUCAAAGAAGAUUCAGCUUCUUGAAUAUUUCCUUCAUCAAGCUUUGCUUCAACUUCAGUUGUUUUCAUGCAAAUCCCAUUAGCACAAAGCUGUCUGACGAUCUCAUCUUCCCCCUUCUCACUAAAAUCCGCGGAUUGAUUCCCGAGCAUUGUUCUUCACCUUUUAGACUAAACCCACAUCAAAAUUUCUGCGUCCAUCCAAACAUCAAUCCACCGUAACUAGCAGCAACUGCAUCACUUGGCACAAUAAAUAAAACCGUGAGAAACCAAAAUAUAUGACAUGAUUUAAGUCAACGCAAGCUCACAAUCAAAAACAUUGUAAAGAGAAGAACAGCAACAUUUUUCUUCAGACAAAAUCCAAGAAUUGAAAUCAUUGUCUUAAAAAGGACCCACCAAAAAAAUAGAAGCUUCAAAGACAAAAAGAAAUCUUCAACUUUGUCAUCUUUCUAACUUUUUUUUCUGCUUUUUUUUUUUUUUUCACUUAGAGGAAUCAUUAUAACCUUAAACAAUUCGAGACUACAUUCCUUUGAUCUGUUCAUCGUCACAUCAGCUAAAUAGAUUACAUGAUAAAUGAAUUUUCUAAUUCUUGUUUUGAAAUCAAAGAAGAACAAUGUUUGUUCCAAAAUUCAGCAAAAAUGUGGGUCCUUAUUAAGAACAAAUCUGUCAACGCCAUUACUUUUGUAAGUCAUAGAUUUCAAAACAAUGAUGAAAUUGAACCUCGCAUCGUUUCGAUCAGAAAAAUCAAAAAGCCAAUUUCGGAAAAAUGAAUCUAACGUACCUACGAUCAUCGGCUUCAUGUUCUUCAGACAGCCGAUCGAAUAAAGUACGCGAAGAAGAAGAAGCUGCACUGACGAAUUUCGCGGCGACAAUUCGGAUCUGAAGAAGAUGAAAGAAACUUUAAAAAAUUAGAAAAAGAGAGGAAACUUUUUGUUUUUGAUCUCUCUUUGUUUUUUUUAUAUUUAUAAUAAGAAUGUGUUUUAAAAAAAAAGAAGCAAAACGGAGUCUUAGGAGCCGUACGUGCUUCCGAUGUUGCAGAACGUGAACGGGGAGAGAAAUAGAAACACCUGUUUUGUCUUCAAAGUUCAAACUCUCUUUCUGUAAUUUUCAGUGUUUCUCAAGGCUAUUACUGUCAUUUCAUCGGUUACGAACUAAAAGAGGCUUUAACGCCAUCACACACAAUUCACAAGCCAAUAGCAGUUUCACUAAUUUCAUUCGGUGUGGCUCGAUAGAAGAAGGUAGUAGAAGAGAAGAGCCUAAAUGAAUUUUAGUUUAAAUUGGGCUUUUAAAUAUUUUCGGCCCAAACUUAUUUAGUGUCCCAAAUAAGUUUGGUAUUUUUAUUAUCGAAAGUGUUCAUACUAUUUUAAAAUUCUAAUAUGUAUAGCUUGGAGUAUUAUUGAUUCUGGAGUUUGAGUGACUUUAGCAUCUUAUUACUAAAUAAUACUAGUAUAACAACAAAAGCGUUAGAUGGCAUUUACACUUGUAAGAUAAUUUAAAUCAUAUUCAAACCCCUUAAGACUCUUUUAGAAAUACAAAAAUGAGAAGAGUUUUAAUGACUUUAAAAUUUCCACUUAAUGAUACUAGUAUAGCAACAAAAGCGUUAGGUGACGUAUACAUUUCGACGACGAUUCAAAUCAAUCAUAUUCAAACCCCUUAACCCAAAUUAUACUUUUCUUUCUUUUCUUAUAUUUUAUUUAUUUUUAAACAAAAUUUUAAACCCCGAAAAUUAAGUUUGGGCAUUUUCUUUUAUAACAAUAAUCUCAAUUUAAUAGGGAAAAAUAAUUGAAAAUAUGUAGCUAGCUAGAUUUCCCCACACCCAUAGGUAAUUGUUACAAAAGGUGCAUGCAAGGUAAGGACCUCUAGCAUUCGAAUAAUUUGCAAGCUUUCAAUAUUCCUCUUUUCUUAAAAAUUAGCUUGGAUUAUUAUUCAUAUACUUAUCACAUUGAAAUGUGCAAGCUUGAUUUUUGUUAUUAAUAGAAAAUUAAUUAACUCAAAGUACAUAAUAAAUAUGUUGAUUGAGUACUCAAAUCACUGAUGGUCUGUCCUUUUCAUUCUCCUUUGGCGUUGGGAAACAUCUAAAGCUUAAACGUAAGGCCUUCAAUGAUUUGUCCCAAUUCAAAAUUAUCAAAGUUAGUUCUUACGUAUAGUCAAUCAUCAAAUCAUUUGUAAUUGUAUAAUUAUAAUUGAUAUCUAUCAAAAAUAAAUCAUUAAGACUUAAGAGUUAUGUGUUUAUUUAGACACAUGAUAAGACUAAAUCCGAAAUAGAUUACUUAUUUGUUCUUCAAUAUAGAUCAAUUAGCUUGAAUUAUUUGUAGUAUUAUACAGGUACAUUAUUGACUGAAUUAGUUGUGCAUGCAUUUAUUAGACAAGACCUUGACCUAUUGGCUUAGCAAUUAUAAAUCUAGAUAAUAUAUAGAUAUAAUGUAUUAAUGUCUAAUUAAGUCAAUUCGUAUAAGCUAAGAGGUAUGAGUUUAGUGGCAUCCUUAUCAAACAAUUAUCGAAAACAACUAUCUUAAUAUUAAUAAUGUUUAUUUAUUCAUACUAGGCCCUAACUCAUACAAGUCAGACACUCGACUCAUACUGCAUAACAGCAUAAGUAUUAAUUUGGAGAUUCUAGCAAUAACAGUGUUUUAACUUUUAAAGGAACAGAAUACACAAAUGUUUUUCUUUGACCCCGAGGCUGCCAAGUGGGUGAGGAGUAGUGACGUCGCGUCGUUGAAUUUUCUUUGAGCAGUACAAACUACAAACAAACAAGAUGGAUCCCAUUUUGUUUGUCCGUUUUAAGUUUGGCGGUAUCAUUAUCCAUGCACAAAUCAAAAUCACGCAACUUUUUUUAUAAUUAAUUUUCCAUAAUAAUUAACGAUGAAACAUAUUUUCCAAGAAAUAAUGUAACGUUAAAUUAAGCAGGUACAUAUUUUGUAAAAAAAAGUUUUGGUUAUUUUCUUUUGUUGCCAUUCAUCUUUUGUUUUUUGCUAACUUGUUCUCCGAUCCUCGAUACAUUUUAAGUAGAUAAGUCGCAUUUACAUACAUUUUGUUUGUCUCCUCGAUACAUUUUGCUAGCUUGUUCACCUCGAUACAUUUUAAGUAUAUAAGUCGCAUUUUAAGUAUAAAAGUAUCAUUGCGUUGUGAGUUUUUUUUUCCAUUUUAAAGGCUGGGAGCUGGAGACGUACGUGUGAUUUUAUUUUUAUGGUAAAUAAAUUUAAUACGAAAACAAAUUUACUAGUACUUAUUAAAUUGUUAAUACGUAACUUCGUACUUUAUACUAUGGUUAAAUUGUUUGGGAAAAGUUUUUUUUGUUUGUUAAGUUCCAAGAAUUUGUUUAGAAAAAGUUAUGAACUUAUACGCGGUUUGCUUUAAAAUGUUUCACUUUUUGUUGGUCAAUAAAUAAAUGAACUUCACUUUGCAUGAAUACAGAUUGACUAUAUCAUACAUACAUUAAAUAUACUAAUAUACGUAUAUUCGCAAAAAUAAAGUACAUACAAUAUAUAUACGUAGCUCUAUGAUUAAAAAGCAGCAAAUGAUUGUAAAUGUUACGCACAGUCUGGCAAUUUAAAGCCUUCUUUGCAUUGCUUCACCCUUAAGGUUUACGUUUAGUGAACUAACUUACAUACAUUGUGUGGAACAUGUAAUCCAUAUAAAUUGACCACAAAAUAGAGUUGUGAAAUGUUUAGUUUCAUUGCAUCAAAGAGAAUAUAUUUUUUCAAAUAAAAGAUAGUACUUGUCACUUCCUAUAUCUCUUACCUGUUAACUAGAAAUAAAUAAACAAAUCCAAAAAAAAUGUGUCCUACUUACUUACUAAUGCUUCAAGCUUGGUAACACAUCAAAUUAAUAUUCUGAUAUAUCAUAUAUCACCUAUCUUACAAAGUCAUUAAUUUUCAGGAUGGAAGAGAUUAGAUUAGGCACUGCUUAUUAUACGAUAAAGAUUGAUAUGGAUGCAUCAUAUUUCCGAAAUAAAGUACAAGUAUUUACGGUAUGUGAUUUUGCUCGAAACUUAAGAGUCGUUUCUUAGUAAGAAAUUAAUUAACAUCGACACAAAUCAAAAAUAGUAACGAACAUAAAAAUGUAACUAUAUAUACAUGUAUCCUUAAGCUGCUGCUACUACAACAACUCGCUAAUCAUUAAGUUUCAUAACUAUAAUGGCUUCAUCAUCAUCAAUAUCAAAUCACAAGAUUCCAAACACACUAAUGUUUUUGGUGAUCGUAAACUUUUUGUACCUAAUUCAAACUAAUUCAGCUGUCAGUAUCAGUUCCAAUUCCAACUCCCACUUCUCAAGAUUCUCGAGACAUCGAAGCUCACCAUCAUCAAAAACCAAACAAGGGUUUCUUGCAACGGUCCAAGAGAGUAUGAACCAUGCUCUCUUGGCUCGUUCUCUUGCUUUCAACCUCACUCUUUCUCAUCGAACCGUACAAACCCACACGUUCGAUCCCAUCCACGACUGCCUCGAGCUGCUCGACGACACACUUGACAUGUUAUCUCGCAUCCAUGCGGAUAAUGAUGAAGAAGAUGUCCAUACAUGGCUAAGCGCAGCACUCACGAACCAAGACACUUGUGAGCAGAGCCUUCAAGAAAAAUCCGAGUCAUACAAACACGGACUUGCGAUGGAUUUCGUCGCAAGAAACCUAACCGGUUUGUUGACUAGCUCGCUUGACUUGUUCGUAUCCGUCAAGUCAAAACACCGGAAACUCUUAUCGAAACAAGAGUAUUUUCCGACGUUCGUUCCUUCGUCGGAGCAACGGAGGCUUCUAGAAGCUCCGGUGGAGGAGCUGAAUGUUGAUGCGGUGGUGGCUCCUGACGGAAGUGGGACACACAAAACCAUAGGAGAAGCCUUGUUGUCUACGUCAUUAGCGAGUAGUGGGGGCAGGACCAAAAUAUACCUAAAAGCCGGGACAUAUCAUGAGAACAUCAACAUUCCGACGAAGCAGAAGAACGUUAUGUUAGUUGGUGACGGGAAGGGUAAAACAGUCAUUGUAGGUAGCAGAAGUAACAGAGGCGGCUGGACUACUUACAAAACUGCAACCGUCGGUAAGAUUCUAUAAAUCAAUUUUCGGUUUGGUUCGGUUCCGUUAUUUUCCGGUUAAUUAUAUUUUAGAGUUUUGGUUUGAUCCGGUUAUUGAUUUACUGAAUUUGAAAAGCCGCUAUGGGGGAAGGGUUCAUAGCGCGGGACAUGACAUUCGUGAACAACGCCGGACCCAAAUCGGAGCAAGCGGUGGCGCUCCGUGUCGGAGCAGAUAAAUCCGUCGUGCAUCGAUGCUCAGUGGAAGGAUACCAAGAUUCACUCUACACACACUCCAAACGACAAUUCUAUAGAGAGACGGAUAUCACCGGCACCGUCGAUUUCAUAUUCGGAAACUCCGCCGUCGUAUUUCAAUCCUGCAACAUCGCCGCACGGAAACCUUUACCGGGUCAGAGAAACUUCGUGACGGCGCAAGGACGGAGCAAUCCGGGUCAAAACACCGGAAUCGCGAUUCAAAACUGCAGGAUCACGGCGGAAUCGAUGACUUAUCUUGGUCGGCCGUGGAAGGAGUAUUCGAGGACGGUGGUGAUGCAAUCAUUUAUCGGCGGGUCGAUUCAUCCGUCGGGUUGGUCUCCUUGGUCGGGUGGUUUCGGUCUCAAAUCUCUGUUUUACGGAGAAUAUGGGAAUUCGGGUCCUGGAUCAUCGGUUUCGGGUCGGGUUAAAUGGAGUGGGUGUCAUCCGUCUUUGACGGUGACGGAAGCGGAAAAAUUCACUGUGGCGAGUUUUAUUGACGGGAAUAUAUGGUUGCCGUCAACGGGCGUUAGUUUCGACCCAGGACUUGUGAAUUGAGCUUUGUAAUUAAAGCUCCUUUGAUAAAUAAAUUCUUAUAUAGUUAUUUAUGUUGUGAUUAAAGUAAGUAAUGGUGUGGUAUAAUCUCUUUUCUUUUUUUAUUAUUUGUAUAUUUGGGUGUAACUAAAGAAAAAAAAAAAACAGUAAGUCCUCGAAUAAAAUCUGAAUUUGUUGUAAGAAUGGUUUGUAUGUUUUACUAGAUUUUAACCCGUGAUAUAUAGCGGGGCUAUACCUUUUUAAAAAAAUAAAAAUUAAUUUGUUUAGUAGAUUAAAUAAAUAUAAUUUAUUUUUUAUAUUUUUUAAAUGUACAACUCUUUUAUAUAUAUAUAUAUAUAUAUAUUAUUUAGUAUACAAUUACUAUGUUUAAUUUUUACUGUUUAAAAAUAUAGAAAGAAUAACAAAUAGUUUAUUAAGUUAAAAUUUAGAUUAUAACUAAAUAAUUCAAAUUUGAAUUAUAUUUGUUUUAUUAAUAUAAUGAUAUUUUAAUAUAUAUAUAUAUAUAUAUAUAUAUGAUUUCAGCCGUGGUAUACUGUCUCGUAUUAUUAUCGAUCUAAAGCCGUCAUAUCAUCUAAUCUCGUUCAGUGAAAUUAAACAUUUCUAAUAGAUUCACCCAUGCUAUACUGUCUCGUAUUACCUAUCGACCCAAACUCGUCAUACCAUCUAACCCCGUUCAACGAAAUUAAAAAUUAUUUUGUUAUUUUUGUUUUAAUAAUACUUUAAUUUAAAAGAUAUAUAAUUCAAAUAAAUUUAAAUUUUUUAUUUCAAAUGGUUAUUUAAUUUUUUUAAAGUUCAUAUAUUAUAAAUAUUCUAAACCCGUCUUAUCAUCUAAUCUUGUUCUGUAAAAUUAAACAUUAUUUUUUUUAGUUUUAGUUUGAAUAAUAUUUUUAUUAAAAGAUUUAUAAUUCACAUCAAUUUAAAAGUUUUAUUUCAAAUGAUUAUUUAAUUUUUAUAGAUUUCACAUAUUAUAAAUAUUAUAAAACAUUUUUCCGUUGAAUAAUUUAAAUGUUUAAUUAACUAUAAUAUUUAUCUUUUAAUCAAGUAUAUAUUAAUAAUGUCCUAAAAUUUCUCAUUUUUAUGUAAUUAAAAUUGAUGGAAAUAUAUUAGAUAAGGAAAUGCUACAAAUUAGGAAUAUUAAUUAAUUAAUAAUAAUUGAUGGUAAUGACAUUCCUUGUAAAUAAAUUUCAACUUGAGAAUUUAUUUGUUAAAAUCGCUGAAAAAUGUAUAUAUAGAUUUCACAAUUUCUCUAUAUGCUUAAAAUUACUUGAUAUUCUUAUCAAUUGCUCUGUUUAAUUUGGGACUGCAAUGAAACUACGUGUGAACGAUUGGGUUCGGAUUAUGGUAUGUGGAUAAAGGCUCAGCCCAUCCAUGCAGUGGUUUUGAAAUAAGUUAGGAUAGAUAGUUAUUUGAAGCCCAUAUUAAAACCCCACAACCCAUACUAUUGUUGGAUUAUGUUCGUUUUUGUGAAAAAAAGAAGAAGGAGAAGGAUUAUGUUAGUAAUUGGUCAACUUCUUUUUCGUUAUUUUCUGUUACUGAAAAGACGAUAUCUUAUGUGUUUAUUUAUUUGGUGGAACAAACGAAUUAAAUUGUGAUAUUUGUUGGUUUAAGUAAUAUUUUAUUGAAUAAUGUUGGUCAAAUGGUUGGUCGUCUAAGAUUAAAUAAUGGGUGGAAGAAACGAAUUAAUAUCUACAUGAGUCCAAAUUCGACACUGUGCCAAUAUGCUAGAUGCAUGCAUGUCUUUGAUGAGUUUUCCGGAAAACUCUAUUGAGCCUUGAAAAUUUAUCAAAAAUAUGUAUGAUGCGGAUUAAUUUGUAUAUCAUUUUUCAUAACCACAAUUUCCAAAGAAAUAAAAACGUACUUAAGACAUUUACUGUGGCCAACUAUGUUAUGAAUAAUGAAUUCAGAGUGAAAAGAUCGAUAUGAAUAAUUGAAGAAUAGUGAUAAAUAAUUGAAAGCUUAACAUAUGAAAAUAAUUAAAAGAGAUAGUUAAUUAGGAAGUGGUCUUCGUUUUGAGUAUUAAAAUCUUGCCUCUCUAACAAUAGGCAAGAUUGGCCCACUUUUUCUAUUUCACGGUUCUGUUUUUUAACUCAAUAUUUGCAUGUACGUGUGUAUGCGUAUGUGUACAUUAAAUUUAUCCCACGUGCAACCCUUUUGUCUCUGUCCGUUUAUUUUAUUCCUCAGUUUUAUUAACCAACCAAAUCGUUUUUGUGUUACGCGUAACUUACGGUCUAUAAUUAUUUUAGACCGAGAGUCUGAAUAUGUUUAACUAAUUAGAUCUUUCCUACUGUCGAUUUUAAUAUGACAUGGUCUUCUCUUUUAAGAAUUUAAAUUACCGAAAAUUGAUCUUCAAUCCGUUUUACAUGGACUUCUCUAUGAUGAUAUUUGAACAAUAUGUCUGUACUACAACAAACAUAGUUAAAGAUAUUUGUAACAUCUAUUUAGGCUAUCGUAAUUCGUAACUGGUUUUGUUAUAUAAGACAUUUUCAAUGAGUUUAUUAUAUAUGCUUUUGCAUAAAGUUACAAACACUAUAUAUGCUUGAGUCAUGGUUUGCUUCGUGACUCGUCGUCGUCGAUCGCAUAAAUUAUCUUUGAGGUUUAAAUAAAAAAUGAAAGAAAAUGAGCGCCGUCAUGUUAUCCACCGGAGAAAGUAAAACGGAGCCACGUCAACAGUUACGGAGCAAAGUCGCCGACAGUUGUAACGUCAAGCUUAAUCAGCCGUCUUCAUUUUGAACAUAACGUAAUAAAACAACCAAACACUCUUUUUUCCUCUUUAACAACAAAAGAGGCGUCAGUGCUUACGUGGCUUUUCACACGUUCUGAUUUUCAACAUUUUGUAAAUCAUUAUUACUAAAUGACCAAUAGCAUUUAUUCUUUUGUUUUUGUUUUACAUUUUUAGUUGGGAUAUUUUAAUCAACUAGUAUGAUAAAGUUUAUUCGCCCCCAACGACUUAUUAUUAAAUUAAGAAGAGAAUCAAAGAAAACGAAUGGUGUAGUUAAUAUUAAUUGAAUAAUUAGAACAAAAAAAAAUUAAAGAUAAAGAUAAGAGAGAAAGGAAAGUGGAGGUGGGUAAAGGCCAUAGCCAUGUGCCUUCAUGUGGUGGUUGGCCCAUUAGUGGACCUACUCUACCACUUCUUCAACUCUUUUUUAGUUCUUAUUAUAUGAUUAACACCUUCUUAUUCAUUUGGUUUCACUCCUAAUAUCAACAAUUUUGUAAAUUGUUAUUGACCCGAAAUUGUUAAUCUUUAAACGUAUUUUUAUGAUAGAUGUGAAAUUUGAAACCUUAGAGAAAACAGUGAGAUUUAAGGGAUUUUGGAGCUGAAUCUUGAAAAAAGAUAAAUAUGAUCAUGAUGAUGUUAUACAAAAGAAUUAAAUGGCGUGAAAAAUACGUCCGGCGGCAAAGCGGUAGGGGAGAGAGUGAUUAACACAAAAGAGAUGGGACUAAUGCUAAAUUAUAGCCUUAACCAAACACUUAUCGUAUUCCUCAAGUCUCUCUUCUCUUCUUUUAUAUUUUCAUGUGUUGUCUUUUCUAAAUUGGUUAGUAAUAUUUGGUGUAUAUAAAUUGUAACGUCAUCUAUUGGUCAAGCCAAUUGAAUAAUCUCAUAUUUUGUUGUUGCUCUCUUGCAUGGUGAAUACUUUGUUAUAUAUCUGAUCAAUUUUAAACACGUUUUAUCUUGAUGAUGCGAGUGGCUAAUUGAUUAAGUUUAUUAACACUUUAUAUCGUCGAAAUAAUCAUAGUUAUUCUCAGGUUCAAUGGUGUUACUUUCUAAACUAACGUAUAGUUCAAACUCAGUUUCGAAUAAACAUCCUCAAUCAGUCGUUUCACGAGAGUUGGAUUUUGGCUGAAUUUUGUUUGUGGAAGUAAAUAUCGAGCAAGUAAUGAAUCAAUUAAAUUGAUAUUUUGGGUUUUGUUAUUUCUUUUGCCUUGAAAAUGAGCUUAUAUGUUUUCCACAAUCGAUCAUAUUCCAUCUUAAUCGUCAUUAGUUGUCAACUAAUGUUAACAUAAAUACAUACAUAUAUGUAUAUAGCUUACCUAAUUUUAUCAUAAUAGUCUCUAUUAGCUGUUCACGUUAAUGAAUUCAUACGCAUUCGUCACUAAAUUAACCUUUUAUAAAAACAAACAAAUAAACAUAAUAGUGUGGUUGGAAUCUAAUUCCAUAAUCUGAUGUCUGCUCUAAAUUGCUCUUUUUUCCGUUAAUACCAAGCUAUGAACCAAACGAGCUUGAUUAAUUUGCGUCUAGUACUUAAACAUCAUCCGAAUUAUUAUUUUGUUUUAGCUAAGAUGUAUACGAGCAUUAAUGCUAUAUAUAUUGUAUUUGGGUGUAGUAUACAUUAAUAUUUCAAAUUUCAAAAUAGUCAAAUAUAUAUACCCAAAAUAGCCAAGUUCUGUUAAUCUAUUGGCAUCAACUUUUUUCUUCAAGCUCCAAAACAUCGUUUUCCACUAAUUGCCCAUUUAUUUAUUCAAGACUUUAUAACACUAGGUGUAAAUUAUACUUUUCCGAAAUACAUGGGUUAUACAAUUCACAUUUCAUUUUAAAAUUCUAACACAUAAUGAUAUAUUUACACAUCUAAGUAGCCACCAGUAAGCAAUCGAUGUCAAACCACUAAACCAUAACAGACGAAUCUACAAAAAAUUUGAACUAAUAUUAGUAAACCCCCAAAGUUAAACAUAGAACUGUAUUUAUUUGCUGUUCACCAUUGAAGAAAACUGCCACUUAUAACUUCAUAUUCUCAUAUUUUUACGCAACGUAACUUUGACGGACCAAUUAAGCUCCAAAAUUCAAUAUUUCAAAGCUAUUAACACAUCUUUUUUUUUUUAGAACAUGAGUUAUAAAUAGUUGAACCUAUAGUUUAAAUUUAAACUUUAUAGAGAAUUUGAAUAGUUGUGUGUCUUGUGACAUAAAAAAACAUAAAGAAAAGUUAAGUACAAGGAAAAAUAAACAUUAUUUAUUCCUCUCUAUCUCUCUCUCUCUCUCCACCUUUCCAUUUAUAUUAACCCUAAUAUUGUGUCAUUCUCAAAAAAAAAAAAGUUUUAUAAAGGUUCUCAACUCAAGUUCUCUUCUCUAAAAAACCCAAACAAUGGCCUCUGCAGACAAACUCAUAAACACAGAUGUCCCUGAAAAGGACGUUUUUGCCUUCCACUUCCUCCAAUCCCUCUCAAAUCUCAGAAAACAAAACCCUUUUGAUACUCCGGACCAAAAAAACUACCGCGUGAGGAAGAUCAAGAAGGCUGCGUACGUUUCCAUGGCCAGAGCAGCCGGAGGGAGUAGCCGGCUAUGGAGCAGAGCCCUCUUGCGUAGAGCAGACAAAGAUGACAACAAGAUCGUAAGAUUUUCAAGGAGGAAGUGGAAGAUAUCAUCAAAACGGAGGAGGAGUAACCAGAGAGCUCCGGUGGUGGAGGAGGCGGCGGAGAGGCUGAGGAAUCUUGUUCCGGGAGGCGGAGGAAUGGAGACGUCAAAGCUGAUGGAAGAGACGGCUCAUUACAUCAAGUGCCUUAGUAUGCAGGUCAAGGUCAUGCAGUGUCUCGUUGAUGGCUUAUCUCCCAAAUGAUCAUCAAUUAAUCAUCAACAUCAUCAUCAAUGAUCGAUGUAUAUAGAGAUACGACACAUACAUAGUCUAUUGGAUUGGGGUAAUCAUAACGAAUAUAUAUGUGUAUAUAUAUAUAUAUAUAUAUAUAUAUAUUCUUAUAUAUAUACAUACGUGUAAGAUAGGAUACAUAUAUGAAAUGUGUGGAUAUGUAUUAGUCUCGAAGUAACGAAAGAUUUUUUUCUUUUUCUUUUCUUGAAUUUUGAUAAAAGGGGAUUUAUUAUUUAUCAUAUGCUAUGGCCGGUUUAAACAUUAGGGCUUGGUAACUUGCCCUUGUCAUAUGAUAAAAGGGGAUUUAUUACUUAUCAUAUGCUAAGAGAAUUUUCUUUCUUCUUUUCUUUUAAGCUAUGCAAUUUACUUGGUUCCUCUUGAUUGUGUUAUUCGUCAAUGAUGUUUCUAUGGAUGGAUUAUAUAUAUAAAGUUAUAACAUAUUAGUUAUAAGAAAAUUAUAGCGGAAUUAUAACUAUCAUAAAAUAUACAUUCUGUAUUUAUAUAUCUCCUAUACAUAUACGACUGUUUAUGUUUUUGAGAAAAUAUAUGAUAAAUCUAAUAAUUUUAAAAAUAUAUAUUUAUAGAAUUAUGAAUCAUUUAAUUAAAUGAUUUUUUUUUGUUUAACACGGAGUUACUUGAAUAAGUCUUAAAAAUACUUGACAUUAUAUAGGUUAAAGAAUUUUGUAGAAUAUAUAUAAUUUAACUCCUUUUUUGUUUUGUAUAACUCUUUUUUCAGGUAAGAGAGAUUUUUUUUUUUGUAUAACUCUAACAUUUCAUGAUUUAUGUCGGAUUGAAUUCAAAUGGUCGCUCACAACAACAUUAUUAACAAAAAUUACAAGACUCUGAUUACUUGUUUUCUUUAUAAUCACAUUUUCCGUUGGAAGGAUUAUCUACACGUCUUAUUUAUGCAGUUGGUCAUACUUAUAUUUCAUACGAGUGUCCUACUUUAAUUUGUCAAUUAUUAUACACGUGUACGUAAACAGACAAAUUGGUCAAUUCCACAUAUUUCACAUCAAAUAUCUGAUUCGUGCAUUCGUUUUCGUCAGAAUUUCAUUCCAUCAGUCGAAUAAUAUUUGAACAAACUUUCAAGUUUUAUGGAAUUUUCAAAGACUUAUUUUUCCCAAAAAAGAAAACACACAAAGAUUAACAAAAGGGAAUUUGCAUUAUACUUGAAAUUCUACAAAAACGAGUCUGAAUUCAAGAGAAGGUUAAUAUAGACUCUGUACAACAUGUCAUGAGUCUUACUAGAGAACCUUUCUUUCUUCUCCCCCAAAACAAGGAAAAAAAAACGAUAUAAUACAGUACUUUCCGAUGUGUCUUGAAUUACUUUUGGUAUCCGAUUAACUUUGGCUUUGCAGAGAACUUACAUCAUCAGCUUUUGUGUACCUCUCACAUAUGAAAUCUGCUUAAGCUAUGCUCGAUGUUUUGGGGAAAAGCUAAUUCAGUUUGAUUGAUAACACAUCAUUAGAAUAUUGUUGAAUCAUGUUAUUAUGCCACAGGCAUUGGAUCCUCCGGUGUGUGAGACUCUGAUUCUUCGAUACCGUAAUUCCAUAGUUCUUUAAGCUCUCCUCUUACCAACCCCAGUAUGACGGCCAAACCUACAGAGAGAAAACACAUCAGGUUUUGUUUGAGAACGAUGGAGAGGAGUGUUCAAAAACAGAUGGAGGAAAGGGAACUCAAGCUUCUGGUUUUACCGAGUGUGCAGGGUACGAUGUACAAUAGUGCCGGCUGGCCAUGUCCGUCCAUAAGAUACAGACCUAGGUAUGUCAGUAAUAGACCUACAAAACAGAACAGGAAGAAACAAUGUUUCUGUUAAGUUCCAAGACUGUGAAUGUGAGAAGCCAUCUCGAUUAGCAAGCUAUGUUAUUUUAUAGUCGGAAAAUAUAAAAUAAUUGAGAUCAUUUACUCUGUUGUAUAAGCUAUGUAACGCCAUUAAUGUUCACAGAGUUAGUAAUGCGUGGACACUUACCUAUUCCAUAGCCGAUAGUCAACCAGAGGAAGUACCCAUUUGAUAUUACCCUCUUUUUUAUCUUGUCAUAUCUGAGAUCAAAGAGUGGAGCAAGUAUUAAUCGUGGGAGAGGAUUGGAUGAGAGAAUCGUUGAGAAAGACACUCUGGAGAAAGUAUGGGCAAAGAUGGAAUUCCAAGUUGUUCUUUGAAGCUCUAAGAAUGUCACUGACUAAAAGUACCUGGAAGCAAAGGAAAUGAGCAAACCGGGGAAGAGGAUGUCCCCAAAACCAAUCAUGUCAUAACCACCCCAAGGAUCAAAGAACCGAGGAAUCCUUAGUAGCAUCGGAAUGGACUCCCCAGUGCUGCUGUCUCCUUGGGCAACCUACAAAGAAGGGAGUUUCAAAUAAGAAUAUACUGGCUGAGCUUCUCUGGGCCCUUCAAUUACUCAAUUAUCACAAUCGACUACUAUUCAAAGUUAUUGAGUUAUAAAGUUACUUGUGUAAGCUGUUGACAAAACGACAAAGAUACUACAGCCCUACCAUAACAAAUUUAUGUGUCACAAAACAAACUUCAAUGAUACCUUCCGAAACAGCAUAUUUUUUUGGUCAGAAUUGCAGAAACGAAACAAAUCACAUAACUAGCCCCUUUCUAAGCCUAACCUGGAUAAACUGAGUGUAGCAAUAGAAAUGAUAAAUUUUCGACUUUGUAAGAGAUACUCACCACAAUCAUAACACUCUCGUGAAAUAUCAAUGGAGAUAUGAAGACCCAGAAAAUGUCAUAGACAAAUGCGCAGCAAAGAAGUACAGUCGCAACCUGGAGUACAGACCAUUAUAAGCAUAACAGAGAACAAUCAUAAUUCACUACACAGCAAACUAGAUAAAAUACCUUGAUGUUAGGUAAUCGAACCACUUGCAAGGCAGUGAUCAUCAAACAUAUGCCCUGUCAACAAGAUGACAAUAAAUAUUUCACUAAGUGCAGCCCAAGGAACCAAAACUUCUCAACAUGACCUCUUCCUUUAUGGAAAGAGUGGAAUAUGAAACUAAAUUAACAAAAAUAGCAGAAGCGGUGAUAAGAGAAAUAAUGAGAGGAAAUGGUAUCUAGAUGCAUGUAGUGACGAAGAAAAAGAGAGCUAUGGGAGUUACCAAAAUGUCUUGGCCAACCCAAGAAUACGAUGUGUGACGUUUUAUAAACCAGAAAACAGCAAACGCCAAACAAACAAUAUUCACCAAAAGCGACAACACUGACAUUGUUCCAAGCAAAGGGAGCUUCACAGAUUUCCGAGCAAGAUGUCUGCAUUUUCUGCAGGCGGAACAAACAUAUAUCUGUUAAGAGAUGUUGACCAGAAAAAGAGAGAAGUGAAAUAAUCAGGAAUAUUUCAGAAUACCUCAAUAUAACAGCCAUAAUGAUGUUGUGCAUACCCUGAAAACAACAGCCACUGCGUUAAAUUGACGGAAAAAGCACAUAUACAUUUAAUCUAAAUUCUAGACAGGUUCAAAACCGCCGGAUGUUAAUGAAAUUACCUGCAUGCCGCCAAUGCAGAAAAAUAUGGUGAGCACCCAUACAAACCAUGAUGACAUGAAGUAGAAAAGGAGCAGCAGAAAUAUGGAGGCUGUUACAAUAAAAAAUACAGCACCAGUGACACUUAUAUCAAGGAUUUCCUUCUCUGGGUCAUCUUUUCUGGUCCCAGCACUAGAAACAUCCUGGAAAAAAUUCAGUAAAUUAUUUUUUUUUCUUUAAAAAGACAUUGUUAAUUCAGCUACAUAAACUGAAGUUUUGAUCACCAAGUCUACAGAAUAACAAGAGGCUGCUACGCAAAGUAUCUGGGAAAUGUAAACUACGUGUAUAGGAUAUCAAAGGCAGUUAAUUGUAGAAACCAUAGCAUGCAAAAGUGCUUAACCACAAUUCUCUGGUACACCUUUGCUAGUAUGCUGUAAGAUUCAUUAGCUUGGUCAGGAUCUGUAAGCUCUGACCACAGUGAUGCAACGACAACAGUUCCCACAGCCAUGAGCAAUAACAAUCCAGCUGUGAGGUCCACGGCAGGACGCUUUGGAGCAUACAACAAAAGCUCAACUGCAUCAUAAAGAAACUGGACUUAGCCUAAAAGAGAUUUAUACGAAUACCAGAUGGUUCAAAUUGUAGAGCUACAGGACCAACAAGAGAAAAACUGAAGUGCGAAAUCACAAAGGCUCACCAUUCUUAUUGUCAACCAUAGACUUGUUGAGAGCAUCUCCGCUUGACUUAGAGAUCAUUAAGACAGGUAUGCUCACAUUUAGAGAUGUGUCCUUUUCCAUACAUCCCAUCUCAUCAAGAUCUGAUAACAGAUCAUGAGUAAAUCAUAUGAUCCAAAGCUACGAAACACGAAAAACAUCAAUCCGAAACCGUAUUGAAAAGAAAAAAACACCUUCUUUGUCAUUAAUGACUAAGAGAGCAGAAGCACCAGCUGCCUCAGCAUGUUUGGCCUUCUCAGUGAAAGCACAAUUGCCACGGAUCGACAAGGCAAUAUGUCCAUCUAACUGGAACAAACAAUGUCAAUACAAGAUAUCAAUGAACAUUGCCAAAAAAAAAAGUCAGCUUGCACUUCCAAAUUACAUGGUGGAAGCCAUUGACUUCAUUCUAAAAGCAAGAAGAAAAGAGAAACUGACCCUGGAAGAGAGAUGGGAACAAGAGUCCAAAGGAUCUACAAAAGCAGCAGGAAAUCUAAGAGCUUGAUCAGGAACAGAAGGCAAGGCAGCUCCAAAUUGAGCAGUUAAGCCAGUAAGGAAGUCUCCUUCAACACCAUCAACCCAAUUUAAGACCUUUACCUAUAUGAAGAUCAUUUCCACCAAAUAUAGAAUCUCAUUAACAAAGAGAGAGAGAGAAGGAAAACUAGAUCAAUCAACUCCACUGAACCAGAGAGUGAUUAGAUACGAAGUAAAGAUAAGAAAUUGAAUGCACCAUUUGAAACUUAUUGGUACAGCCAGGAGACUCGAGGCUGGAAUCUUCGGUCCACGAUACAUCGUCGGCCGCCGCUACCGAAAAACCAAGCAGGAGAAGAAUAAGUACUAAGGCUGAAUAUCGGUGAUUCGGCGGAUCAAACGACGACAUGACGCAAUCGACUGAGCAAAUCGGAGAGAAGAAGAAGAAGAAGAAGAAGAAGAGACAAAGAGUUGCUGUUAAAAUCUUUCUGGGAUAUAUCGGACGGUCGAUAUUAUAGUCUUUUUUAUCCUCUAAAUUCAAUAAUUCUUUUACUGUUUCUAUUGUGCCAAUUUUUGAGUGAUUCAUUAAAACUAUAUGAUAUACGACAGCUCUUUUUGCUCAACUAAUCAAAAAUCAUAAAUUAAUAUAUGUCGCAUUAUGUAAAAUAUAAUGGUUUCAAAAGUAUUUUGAGCAGAAUUCAGAUCCCCACGAUGUAUUUUGACUUGUCUAGUAUGUCAAACAAACAAAUAGAACAGUUAAGUAGAGGAGUUUGAUUGUAAAUUCUAAAUGUCAUCGUACCGGCCGGUUUAAAUGUUCUUCAUUUGAUAACUAUCAAGAAAAACUAAAUUAUUUAGAUAACUAAUUUAUAUGAACUCGAUUUAUCUGUUUAUUUAACAAUAGAAAUAUCAAGAAAAACGAAUAAUUCAGGAGAGAAACACCUUCUUGGUUAUAUAAAAUUACAAGAAAUUUACAGUUUGUACUUAAAAUCUUUUCCCUUUGAAUUUCGUUUUGAGCUAAUUACAAAACAAUUUGUUUUUUUUUUUCUGUUUGGUUCCCUUUGUAAUUAGUACCUUAAUUUACUCUGACAAGAUGAAUAUUUUUCCAAAAAGAAAGUAAAAAGAGAAAAAGAGUCCAUGACGGAUAUUCAAAAAAUAAUUAAAACAAAAAGGAAGGGAAAGAAGAAAGAAAAAGGCCUUUGUUUUUUUAAAGAGAAGAGAAGAUCUCUGAGAAGAAACUCCUCUGACGUUUUUUCUCCACCCAAAUCUCUCUCAACUCUCAAGCUCCUCUCUUUUUCUUCCUUCUGCAACAACAACAACUGUUACUGAUCUCUCUCUCUCUCUCCCAAGUUUUUAUUUUAUUUUGAUCGGAGAUCGAGAUCAGCUAGACAUGGCUCCUGCCAUGAAGAUCGUCUUCGGUCUCUUGACAUUUGUCACUGUCGGAAUGGUCAUCGGUACUUUCUCUCUAUUUAUAGUCCUCUACAUUUGAUUUUUAAUUUUGGUCUUCAAAGUUUAUAUCUUUUUUUUUGUUUUCUCUCGGCCAAAUUGACUCUGUGAGAAAUUGAAACGGCUCUUUCGUAAACUCAUGGAGAUUGUGUUUCUCUUUUGUUCCUGGAAUCUGCAGGUUCCUUGUUACAAUUGGCCUUUAUUAAUAGAUUGGAAGAUUCGUACGGUAACUCCUCUUUCUUUCUUAUUUUCUUCAUUUAUACUUGUAGAUGUGUCUUUGGUGAUAGAAUUGCAAAUAUAGGUAUCUGAGCUCUUGAGCAAGGGAUUGAGAGGACAUUGCACUACAAUGUCAACGAAUUCGUAGGACUAGAUCAGGGAUUUUGAUUGUAGUUUAUGCUUACUACAAUGAAGAGAUGAUCCCCUUUUGGAUUUUCUAUUGCUUGUUUUGUUGUUGUGGUGUCCUUUUGAUUUCUAAAUUCUUUCUCCUUCUUAUUCAGGAACUGGAUUUCCGUCUCUAAGAGGACUUCGAGGACAGAACACCCGCUAUCUACGAGGUUGGUGUGAUCAUUUCUAUCCAAAACUAUGCUUGCAUUUAGGUUGUUAACAUAAUAGUCUCUUUCUAACUAUUUGAAUCUCGGCUUUAUGACAAGACUCUUCUUAUAGAGCUUGAUUUGUGGACAUGUUAUGAUACCGAAUCGAUUAAUGGCAAGACUUGUUUAUUUUCAGAUGUCUCCCGGUGGGCAAAUGACAAAGAUGCAGAAUUGUUACGGAUUGGCAAUGUAAGUAUAUCGUAUCCAUUUUGCAGUUGUUUUUUUUUCUUAGGGCCUAUGGUUGCCUAAAAAUUUCAUUUAUAUACCUCUACAGUUGAAGAAUUGGUACAUGGAGGAGAAAAAUUAAAUUGUUUGUAGUACGGACACAUUUCUUAAAUAUACUAUCUCUUUGUGAAACUAUGAAAAUUACACACACAUGUAUCGUUUUUUGUUUUACUUCUGUAAAUCUAGGUCCGUUUUGUGUGCUUCCAGCUAAUGUUUAUUUUCUUUAGUGCAGGUCAAGCCUGAAGUAGUCAGUUGGUCCCCUCGAAUUAUUGUGCUUCAUGACUUUCUCAGUCCGGAGGUAUAUACACCCCCCACUAAUAAAUUCUAGUUCAUUGAGUUAGCUGAUUGUAGAAUAGUCUGUUCUUGCUGAUGUUAGGCCUUUAAGUAGAGAAAAAACUUGUUCAUAUCAUCUUUAUUCUAGCAAGGAUAAGCUAAGAUUUGAUAGAAAAGCAAAAUCUUAGGCUCAGUUCUAAGUAUUAUCAUAAGAAUUAGCAAAAGAGCUUUUGGCUGUUUUUUGUCUUCCCAUUAAAAUAGUUUUCUUGUUUCUCCUGAUAUGUAUAUUUGCAGGAAUGUGAAUACCUAAAAGCAAUCGCCCGGCCUCGCCUUCAAGUUUCCACUGUUGUUGAUGUAAAAACCGGAAAGGUAUUGGACAAUACCUUCCUUUUAGUUCUGUAGAAGAAGUAAAAUUUCUAUUACAUCCACUCUCUGCCUUCGAUUGUUCAGUUGUUUCAAUCAAACAUUGGACACAAAUAGAAACGCUCUAGGUUUGCCUGCAAAGUCUAAUUCAUUCUCUUCCAUAGUAGACAUAUUCUAGUUAUGCUUUCAAAGUCUUAACCAUACUCUUCCAUUUUCUUAUCACUUUCUUCUUGCUUAGGGAGUUAAAAGUGACGUGAGGACAAGCUCCGGAAUGUUUCUAACUCAUGUAGAAAGAAGUUAUCCAAUAAUACAGGUAAGUCACUCUCUCAUAUCUUUUAAAGGCGUGCCAUUUUGAUCAACUUUACAAUUUUGUAAAUUAUAUUCCUUUUCGUUUGCUAUUAUUAGGCAAUUGAAAAGCGAAUUGCAGUCUUUUCUCAAGUACCAGCGGAAAAUGGAGAACUUAUUCAAGUUCUAAGGUGCGUGCACAACCGCAACCUUACUAUUUUUUAAAUCUAAAGUAAACGAAGCUUUUUUCUUGUUUUGAUGAAUCAAAAUCUGCUGCAGUGCAGAUAUGAGCCGCAGCAGUUUUACAAACCACAUCACGAUUACUUUGCUGACACUGUAAGUCUUUGGUUCUGUUUUCAUAUAUAUAUAUCAUUAGUAGAUUGGUAAAGAAAGCUUUUGCUCUGAUUAAAAAAAAAACUAAAAAGAGGCUACAGUAUUUAACUUUUGGUUUGGUCAAUAAUGUUUAGUUGGAUCUGUACUUCAUCUUCUCCUUCUUCAUCAUCUUAGAACAUUUAGUUUGGAAGUACGUUUAUUGUGGGUGUUCAUCAUAUUUCCUCGUUUCUUUUCUUAUGGUUGCUACACAGUUCAAUCUAAAGCGUGGUGGUCAGCGCGUAGCAACUAUGCUUAUGUAUCUAACUGAUGACGUCGAAGGAGGAGAAACUUAUUUCCCUUUGGUAUAACACUUUCUCUCUGUUCAUGCAAAUUUCAGAAAACAAAAUAAACCAAUGGUGUAAUAUCUCUCUCUCUCUACUUGAAAUGCAGGCUGGUGAUGGUGAUUGCACCUGUGGUGGCAAAAUCAUGAAAGGCAUCUCUGUUAAACCCACCAAAGGAGACGCAGUUCUCUUCUGGAGCAUGGUUUGUUUCUUCAAUCUCUCUCUCUAUGUCUCUACACAAACAUGAAUCAAUUGGACUGCUUUGAGUUCAAUUACUUCUUGUGUUAUUCAGGGACUCGACGGACAGUCAGAUCCUAGGAGCAUACAUGGAGGAUGUGAAGUUCUGUCUGGAGAAAAGUGGUCUGCUACUAAAUGGAUGAGGCAAAAAGCUACUUCUUGAAGAACUACUUAAAACUUUUUAAAACAAAAAGAAACCACAGGGACUUAUAUUGAAAAAUGUCAUAGUAUCUCAGAGUUUUGAUUUACUCUCUUUUUGACCCUUCAAUUUUAGAAUUUAUCAUUUACAUACGUAAAUCAAUAUGAAUGUGUUUUACAUUUUAACCUCUCCAACAAAUUCUAAAUUACUGUUAGCAUAUAACUGACACAGAAAACAAUUACUGUUACAAAAGAAUUAACUAUCAUUUCACCGAAAUAACGAAGGAGAGUGGCAUUUUGGUAAAUAAGAACAAAGUCUCUAUUUAUAAUCGCAUUUUGGUUGACUUGCUUCAAUCUUGACCACAGCAAAGAGAAACAAACAAUGGCGGCUUCUCUGCAAUCAGCAAACCCUACAUUGUCACGAACCCUAGCUUCUCCGAACAAACCUUCCUCCUUCGCCACCUUCCGAUCUCCAUUUCUCAGAUUCAAUUCAACAUCCGUCGCUUCCAAUUUCAAACCCCUAGUUUCUCGAGAAGCAUCCUCAUCGUUCGUCACUCGCUCCGCCGCCGAGCCACAAGAAAGAAAAACCUUCCAUGGACUGUGCUAUGUCGUCGGCGACAACAUCGACACUGACCAAAUCAUUCCCGCGGAGUUUCUCACUCUCGUCCCUUCGAAUCCAGAGGAAUACGAGAAACUCGGUUCUUACGCUUUAGUUGGUCUUCCAGCUUCUUACAAGGAACGAUUCGUUCAGCCAGGUGAGAUGAAGACGAAGUACUCAAUCAUCAUUGGCGGUGAAAACUUUGGAUGUGGAUCGUCACGUGAACAUGCUCCGGUUUGUUUAGGAGCAGCGGGAGCUAAAGCAGUGGUGGCUCAGUCUUAUGCUAGAAUCUUUUUCAGGAACUCUGUUGCUACUGGUGAGGUUUAUCCUUUGGAUUCUGAAGUUAGGGUUUGUGAUGAGUGUACAACUGGUGAUGUUGCGACUGUUGAGUUGAGGGAAGGAGAUAGUAUUUUGAUCAAUCAUACGACUGGGAAAGAGUACAAGCUUAAGCCGAUUGGUGAUGCUGGACCAGUGAUUGAUGCUGGUGGUAUAUUUGCUUAUGCUAGGAAAGCUGGAAUGAUUCCAUCUGCUGCUGCUUGAUUUUGACUUCAGGUAUGAUUCUGUAACUUGAUGAUGAUGAUGAUGAGGAUUGGUAAUAGGUUAGGAUUGAGAUCGAAUUUGUGGAAUAGUCUAGGAAGCUUGACAUUGAAUUGAACGAUGCAAAACAUAGUUUUCAAUGGUUCUAGUUAGAGAAAGAGAACACAGUAGUUGGGAUUCUAGUUUUGUGUUGUUUAAAAUGUGUUGGUUUAGUUUUUGUGUGAGAUUGAUAAUGACUUGUUAUUCUUUCUCUUCGCUUAAGACUUACUUUAUCUUUCCAUUGGUUCAAUUUCUAGAUUGUACAUCUCUUGAUUGUAGUUGUUGGGAGGGUAAAAGUUAUGAUGUUGGCUGAUCUUUUCCAUGCUCAUAUCCAUUAAGACUUGAGUGUCCGAUAGUAGAACAAUACUUCACUCUUAUUUUGUCUCUAAGACUCCUUUUUUUUUUUCCUUUUUUUGUUCUAUUUGUUUUGCAGGUGUCAAUGGAAGUGCAUGAGAGUCACUUCAAGGAUCUUGAUCCAAUAAUAAGAAUAUGUAAUGUUUCCAAAAGCUUAUGAACCUAAUCUAUGUUUUAUGAAUAUAUAUGACUAUCGGCUUUAGUCUUCAGUAUCAGUUUCUUGUUUACAUUUGGAUGUAUCAGCUGCUAAAAAAAUGCAUAGUUUCCCAUCCCAUUUGAAACGACGUUUUCUCUCAUGUCUUCCACUAAUAUAAUCUUCUGGUCAUGAGAACAGAACAGGAGCUCUGUUUUUCUCACACAAUGAUCGAACACACUUUUGUCAUAUAGUAUAGAGAAAUAUUAACACUUCUUUUUAGGCAUCCGUAUCUAGAGUCUUUGUUUCACUGUGACCUACCUAAGUAUAUCAAAACGCACGUUUGGAAUUCUGAAUGGCACUUUCGUAAAUAGGAGGGUACAAACAUUUCUCCUUUUAAAUUGUUUUCAUCGUGAACUCUCUCACUCACUCAACAAAGUAAAGAAACAAUGGCGUAUUCUCUUCCUACAUUUCCCCAAGCCUUACCUUGCUCGUCAACCAAAACUUCUUCCUCCUUGGCUACCUUCCGAUCUCCUUUCUUAAGAUUCAAUGGUUCCACUUCCUUAAUCCCCUCCUCUAUCUCCAUCACUUCACGUGGCACAUCCUCCCCGACCAUCAUCCCACGUGCUGCCGCCUCAGAAUCCGACUCUAACGAAGCCCUAGCCAACACAACCUUCCACGGCCUCUGCUAUGUCUUGAAAGACAACAUAGACACCGACCAGAUCAUCCCAGCAGGAGCCGCUUGCACCUUCCCAUCGAACCAGCAAGAGCGUGAUGAGAUCGCCGCUCACGCUCUCUCUGGUCUACCAGACUUCCACAAAACACGGUUCAUUGAGCCAGGAGAGAACAGAUCAAAGUACUCAAUCAUAAUCGGCGGCGAAAACUUUGGUUGCGGAUCGUCACGUGAACAUGCUCCGGUCUGUCUUGGAGCAGCUGGAGCUAAAGCCAUAGUUGCUGAGUCUUACGCAAGAAUCUUUUUCCGUAACUCGGUUGCUACAGGAGAGGUGUUUCCGCUCGAGUCAGAGGUUAGAGUCUGUGAGGAGUGUAAGACAGGAGAUACGGUGACGAUCGAGCUGAGUGAUAGUGGUGGUUUAUUGACUAAUCACACGACCGGUAAAAACUAUAAGCUGAAGUCGAUCGGUGAUGCUGGACCGGUUAUUGAUGCUGGUGGUAUUUUUGCUUAUGCGAGGAUGAUGGGAAUGAUUCCAUCAUUAGCUUAAUCCUCUUCCAUAACCAUGAUGGUGUUCUUGUAUGCAUAACUAUUUGAUGAAUAUUUGUGUUUUAGAGUUUUCUAUUUUCUUAACUUUUUUAUGUUUGUUUGAUUUGGUAUUGUUGUUGUUACCUAAAGAAUAAGAAAUCAAAAGCAAAAUAGACCGACAUGUUCCAAGAUAUGUGAAUAUGGUGAGUGUUUACUAAAUUAUGCGAAUAUUGUUGUUGCAACCUUAUUUUCUUCCAAGUUGGGCAUCAAUUUCCCUUUUUGGGCUUAGUCUUCUUUUGUUUGUAAAUUUAGUUUGUUUUAGUUUAUUGUUGGCCCAUUUCUGUAGGGUUUGGCCCGUUAAGUAAGUACCAUGUAAACCCAGAAAAUUUACAACGAAAACCCUUUAGCAAAAAAGUAAUAAUUCCGUUGGUAACUUUUCUCAUUGUAGUACAUGGCAUAUUUUACUUACUCUACUAACCAAUUUGGUUUGGUUAUUGAAAAUUUGGCGGUUUAAACAAACCGAUAUAAAAUAACCGUUAAGCGGUAAAAGAAAGGACAUCGCUAAACCUAAAUUUGCGACUCCUACUUUAUAACGCCGCUCUUCUUCUCCAUUGUUUGUAUACUCUGAAAAACAUGGCAACUACAGAGCUAAAACCCUCCGCCGUUAAAAACCCUAAAAGAAAUCGAAGACCAUCACAUGGUCCGAAGAAAGAUUUGAAGAAGAAGAAGACUAAGAUUACUAAGAAGACUAAGAAGUCGAAAGCUCCCACCUUUGAUAAGACCAUUGAGAAGAGUAGAAGUAACGACCAGAAAACCGACAACGACGAAGACGAGCAACUGUAUUCGGAACCGGUAUCGGCCUCUGAGCAGCUCAACUACUUUUUGAAUCAUCUUGACUCCGCCAUUGGUAUCAAGGUUUCUUCUUUAGAGCUUGAACCCAUUAAAGGUUCGUCCUUUGUUUUAUUCUAGCUUGGUAUUUAUGUACUUCUGUUUAAGUAUAUCUUAUUGGGUUUAGAUAUAAAAAAAUACGAGCUUUGAUUGUUCAUUCGACUUAUCAAUGCACAGAUUUCCCAAGUUCUGAUGAAGUUAAGAUUUGUCUGGUUUAAUUGCAGAUACGUGUAUAGUUGAGUUAUCUCAAGGGUUGGAUCAAGAUGUAAGCAACUUGGGAGAACAUAUAAAGCUUUCUUGUGGGUCUUCAUGGAGAGAGACUCUUUGUGAAGGAGAGUCACUUGAAAGGAAAGUUGAACCGGGAAACCCAUCUGUUCUUGUUAUUAGUUCCUCUGCUCUGAGAUCUUUGGAACUUCUAAGGUACAUUGUAAAUAUGUGUACUUGUAUCUUUGUUAUUGAUUGAUAUAAUGCUUGAUUGAAUAGAAAGUUGCUUAGACUGAGUCCUGUCUUAUGUAUGUAGGGGUUUGCAUUCAUUGACUAAGCAAUGUCCAGCAGUGAAGUUGUUCUCAAAGCAUUUGAAGGUUGAGGAACAGGUAGUGUUUUAUUCUUAUAAUGAUUUGUCUAUAGAGAACUGAACUUAAUUCUAAGCACAUAGAAAAGAGAGAACAAAUUGAAACUGGCAUUUUGAGUUAUUUCGUUAUUGAAUCUUGUUUUGGUUCUCUUGUGUGGAAUGCAUUGUUCUUGCUUCUCUGGAACUUGGGAUAUGAUGACAAAAAUACGAUAUCUCUAAGGCUAAUUGCUGUGCGGAUGAAAUGUAUUUGCACGUCAGUCUGAUCCCAUUAUGUAUAUAACAUUAGGAGUUGGUGCAUGCUCAUGUAGUUCGUUUCUUUCAUUUUUAGUUAAUGUUAAGGAUUUGGGAAGUGAUGAUAAGAUAUAUCAAUAUAUCAUAGGCACAUGCAAUGCUGAACGAUAUAUAUUUGCACGUCAGUCUGAUCCCUUUAUAUAUAUAUAACAUUAAGAGUUGGUGCAUACUCAUGUAGUUCAUUUCUUUCUUUUUUAGUUCAUGUUAAGGAUUUGGGAAGUGAUGAUAAGAUAUAUCAAUAUGUCAUAGGCACUUGCAAUGCUGAACAAUAUAUAUUUGCACGUCAGUCUGAUCCCUUUAUAUAUCCAUCAUUAAGCAUUUAUGCAUAUACUCAUGUUAUUCUUCCCUCUCUCUGUCUGUCUUUCAUGUUAAGAGUCUGGGAAAUGAUGAUAAGUAUAUCGAUAUUUCAGAGGCGUAUGCAAUGCUGAACGAACUAUUUGCACGUCAGUCUGAUUCCAGCUCUUGUUUUUGUUUCUUAAUUUGCAUAUAAGAAGACUAUAGAAUUAGAUUCUUCUGCUUUGGUCUAAAUAUGAAACUCUCAUUUAAAAAAGAAAUGGUUUCCGAAAAUCUUUAUAUAAAUUUCUCAAGCUCAUUGUUAUAUGACUCGAAUUAUUAACUCUAGUUCAUUGUGUUGCAGGUAUCUCUGUUGAAGAAACGGGUUAAUAUUGGGAGUGGCACACCAAACAGGUUAGUAAAUCUCAUCACAUCCUUUCAUUGUUUCCCUUUACUUGUAUCUCCAUAUCCUUCUUGCUCUAGAUCCUGACUGUCCUCUUGCUCUUCUAUGCAGGAUCAAAAAGCUAGUCGACAUAGAAGCUUUAGGGCUUUCGCGUUUAGAUAUGAUUGUGAUCGACAUGCACCCAGAUGUCAAGGGAUUUUCCUUAUUCACAUUGCCUCAAGUCAGGUUUGGUUUCUCAACUCUUGAACAAGCUGCCCCAUUAUCAUCAACGAGUGGAAUUUUUUCUGAUUUUUGUUCUGUUAUAUUUGCAGAGAUGAGUUUUGGGAUUUGUAUAAAAACUGCUUCCACCAGAGAGUCCUAGAAGGAAGACUUCGUAUCUGCAUGUAUGGUCCAAAGCCUUCUCCAAACCUAAAGAAGAAGAACAAGAAAUAACUGUUUAUUAAUUGUAUCAAAUUCUUAAAAUUAAAAAACAAAUCUAAUACUAAUCUCUUUUUUCAUCUCCAAGAUUUUACAAAGAAUUCUAACAUAACCCAGGAUAUGAGAUUUCUUUGUUCGAGCUGAUUAUCCCAUAUCUUUGUAAUGUUUCACAUAAAAAAAUAAUUGGACGUCGAAGACCACAAAUCAUCAUAACACUAUUUGCUGAGCUGAAAUGAAGUCAUAACACUACUUACUUUAGAUUCAGGGUUAGUGCUCAAUGAAAUGGAACUUACCAGCUUUUUCAUUAAACAGGUUAUAGAAAGAAAGUAGACAAAAGAUGCAAGAUGAAGUUGCUGGAAAUGCCUUUGAUGCAGUCCGGAACUAUUGUUUUCAUUUCCCUUGUAUAGUUGUGUAUGCAAUGUUUUAUUGUCUGUUUCAUCUUUCUUUUCACUUGUGACUGUAAUUAAAAAGUUGAGUGAAGGAAGCCCAAAAAGAGCAUGCACAAAGUAGAAAGGUAAGGUUUUAGAUUGAGUGUUAGUACCACUCUAGUUUUACUUUCUUUAGUGAAACUCAUUUACCAAAUAUUCACAAUGAUAUUUUUCAUAUAGAACUUGAGAUUCACUGAAAAAAAUCAUUCAAAGUCAAAUCAAUAGUAUAAAAGUAUAUUAUCUAUAUGUCCAUGAAUGCAGAAAAAGUGUGUUUGUCCAAUAGAUGGUGGGGAAGAAGAUCCCAUAAAUGCAGAAAAUAGUGGAAACACCACCCAAAUAGCUUCUAGAUGUUUGACUUUAGAACUUUCCAUUAAACAAGAGACAUUCAAAGUAAUGUCUUUUUAGUUUUGUGAAAGAUGAUGAUCCCAUUAUAACAUACUUUUAAGAUAACGUAGAUUUCUCAUUGUUUUGCUUUUUAGUGUACAGUACAUAGCUCUGUUUCAUUAGAGAUGUUUGUGAAGACCCCUAUGAUAUUUUUAGUGGGAUAAGUGGACCGAGUGAAAUGCUCACUCCAUUCAACAUAAAUGGUUAAUUAGCAAAAUUUUGAUGAAUACUUCAUUCCACCAUACUUUAUUCCACUAGCUAGACAUCUAUUUGCAUCCCAUCUGUUUUCAUCUCAUGAAGUGUUACACCAUUCAUUUCGACCAAAAAAAAGUGGUACACCAUUCUCCAUAUCUAUGCGUUCUGCUUCAGUCAUUUCUAAUUACAUAUCAUUGGCAAGAGUUUUAACAGUAGUAUGAUUCUCUUUUAAGUUUAUAGUAUGAUUGCAAAUAAUGAUAUAAGAUUCGCGAGACAAAUUCAGAUAAACAUACUUAACUUAGAUAAUGACAGAAACUUCUCAAGACUUUAAAAGAAAUUAAAACUUACGAACCUCAUAAAUUGAUCUAGAAUGUAGUACUGUAAACAUAGUAUAGAAACGUCUAAAUCUCUUAAUCAAUCACUUAACUAAUAACGGUUCCAAAUUAUAUUGAUUACAAUUUAAAAUUAGAUUAACUUUAUCCUUUUUUCAUAUUAUUAGGUAGCCUACUGGCAAACAAGAAACGAGGAAGUGUGUAAUAAUUCGAUGUUCUUAUAUUUAAAUUAAAUAAUCUUAAAAUAGUUAGAGGGUCCAUCUUAUAUAUAAAAAACAUUAUAGGUUUGUUGCCAAAGGAGAAAAACAAAACUCAAAUUAAUGUUUAUGUCAAUUUGAAGCACACGUAUUGCUUAGGUAUAUUAUGUGUCACAUUUUUUUUGGAUUAGCUCGAUAGGAUAGUGAUUGGUGGCUUCAAACUGCAGUGGCGAGGAGAGAAGUCGUUCAUGCCGGCUCUAAAGAGUUCUGUGAAAAGCCAAUCUAAGCCAACACAUAUCAUUUCCCAGUCAAUACUCAAUAGACAGUGAAUAAGAUAAUUGCUGCAAGCAUAUAUUAAAUGAUUUUGAGUAUUUGAAUAUAGUACAUUUCUAGAACAUGUAUGUAAUGUUACAAAAAUGAUAAUCAGAAAAUAUGUAAAAAAAAAGACUAAAAAAGCAAUUCGAUUCUUACUUUUUGUUUCUGAUAAAAUACAGUAAUUCUGAUGAUGGCCAAAUCAUUCCUCUCUGAUUUUUAUCGAAAGUGACAACUUUAUUCGCAAAUAUUCUUAUGACGUAAGCAUGAUUCAUUUAUUUGUUGCUAAAUGCGAACGCAUACCUUCCAAUUUAAUUCAUCGGAGAUACAGAUAUGUUUCUGUAACCCAAUUUUGAUGACGUCAAGGUUACAUAUGUGUCUAUGUAUGCAAAAGUGACACGUGUCAGAUCCCUAUGUCACACGUUGGCUAGUAGAAAGUGUCUAGAGAUAAUCUCUCUUAUUCGUUCACUUUUGAACUGGUCUUCGAUGUUAAUCCAUAUUUUAAAACUUUUAAACUUGGGGAUGAUCAGAAGAUUCAAUUCAUAUUGGCCAAUAAAUUAAUUUAUUUUAAAAGUUACGACAUUGUCUUAUUUAUUAGCUUAAAGUCUAGUUUACUUUUCACUCUCUUAUAGCUCAGAAACUUUUCACUUUAUCGUGAACUAUUGAAUCCAAAUUUGCAUAUUGAUCAAUCAAAGAAAGUAACCGAGUUAUUCAGUCUAGUCUAUAACCGAAUCAACAACAAUGAAAACUGAACUGAAAAUAAACUUAUAUAAUCUUGGUUUAGAAUUUUGCUUGUCAUACAAAAAUCAUAACAACUACAAGUUUUUACGUGAAACCAUAUUUAAACCUUCUUAAACCAAAACAUAAACCAUAGUUUCAGUAUCAAUAUAGUUUGGUUAUAAAAUUAUUCUCGUUUUUCUGUCAUUUGACUGAUUAAAUUAGUUGCAAGACAUAUCAGAAACAUAUAGAACAAAUGUUAGAUCAGAGUGACGUGAGCAUGACACAAUGCAUCCCGUGUUGAUUCCAAACAAUGCGGCGGUGUAAGCUUUUUGAAGCCCAUCAUGGCCCACAACCAAUUCAAAGACAGUCUUGAUCCUCUCUCUUCUAUAAAUAGACACACAGAAUCACAACACCAAAACACAUCCAAAAUUCGUUUAUUACCGAGAAAAGCAACAAAAAAAAAAAAGAGAGAAGAGAAGACGACUUUAAAGUAUAUGAGAGCUGCAAUAAACAGAGCAAAUUCACUUGGAGGUUUGUUUUCAUUUAGGUUUAUCAGAAACAUCAAAUCAAUGUCUUCUUCUACUUCCCAAGAUUUCGUAUCAAGACCUGUUAUCAAGAAAGUCUUCGCUAAGCUUCAGAAAGAAGGCGAUGGAGCCGUCGUUAGACGUGGCAUUUCCAGGUUCCUUGAUUAGUCUCUCUCUUUUUUUUUUCUCUUAGGAAAAUUAAAUGAUUUUUACAAGUCUAAGAAAUUUUCUGGGUUUUUUUUCCUAUGAAUUCAGGAGUGAGCAGAAGUUGUUAGAUCCUUUCUUGAUGCUAGAUGAAUUCUCCGGUAAAUUCUUAUUUAUUUAGCUAUCCAUUUAAAAAAAUAACCAUUUUUAUUUAUUAAUUAUCCAUUUAAAGAACAGAUAUUUAUUGAUGAUUUUCUAAUUUAUGUUUUUUUCUUUGGAGCAGUUUCGCCUCCAGCUGGCUUCCCUGAUCAUCCUCACAGAGGUCAAUAUCACCAUUACAUACAUAAAUGAAAUAAAAACCAUUUUCAAUUAUCUAAUGUCUCUCUAACAUUUUGUGGAAAUUAUGAUGAACAGGGUUUGAAACUGUUACAUACGUACUAGAGGUAAUUAAAAUACAUUUUUUUAAUUAUGAAUCUUCUAAAAAUUUUUAUAAAAUUAUCUUAUUCGAAUUUUUAAAUAUGUGGUUUAGGGAGGAAUCACUCACCAAGACUUCAAAGGUCACAAGGGUACAAUAUAUGCUGGUGAUGUUCAGGUAAGAACAGAAAAAAAAAAAACUGUUUAAUUACUGCAUAACCCAAAGAGCUUUAAAAAACCUAAAAAGUUACUGGACAUUUUUACAGUGGAUGACUGCAGGAAGAGGAAUCAUUCAUUCUGAAAUGCCUGAAGAAGAAGUCAACAAAGGUUUACAACUUUGGAUCAAUCUUUCCUCCAACGAGAAAAUGUAACUAAACCCACUUGCAAAUUCGACAUUUUGGACUCUUUUUAAACCGGAAGUUGACUCUUCAUUUUCAUUUCGACAGGAUAGAACCAAACUACCAAGAACUGUCGCAUUCAGACAUACCAAAAGCAGAACAAAACGGUGUUGAAGUCAAAGUCAUUGCAGGAGAAUCAAUGGGAAUUCAAUCACCUGUUUACACAAGAACACCUACUAUGUUCCUCGAUUUCACUCUCCAACCAGGAGCUCAAAUCCACCAGAAUGUUCCAGAAUCUUGGAACGCAUUUGCUUACAUUCUAGAGAGCGGUGAAGGCGGCGGCGUUUUCAGUUCCUCGAACUCUUCGCCUAUUCCAGCACACAGUGUUGUGGUGUUCGGACCAGGGAAUGAUGGUGUUAGCGUGUGGAACAAGUCAUCUUCAAAGCAAUUGAGGUUUGUGUUGAUUGCUGGAGAACCGAUUGGUGAACCGGUGGUUCAAUACGGUCCGUUCGUGAUGAAUACUCAAGCUGAGAUUGAUAUGACCAUUGAAGAUUAUCACUAUGGUAAGAAUGGCUUCGAAAUGGCCAAGUAUUGGAGGUCACAAUGAGAAAGAACUAAUAAUCACCACUACUUUAUUAUUUCCGGUUCUUUUCUUUCUAUUUUUAAUUCUGUGUUCUAAUUGGAUAAAUAAAAUGAAAAUAAAAAUGUUUUUUUUUUUGGUAUCUUUUGCUAAAUUUGUGGGUGGGAACCCAUUAAAUCCGAGGCUGACUAUUUUUCAAGUUCCAAACAUUGUCAUCAUUAUUAAGGAAGUCUUCCACUAUUUUAGUUUAAAUUACAAAUUGUUCAUACUAUAAUAUUAACAUAUGAAGAAAGCAUAAGACACUUUAUACGAUUCUUAGAAUAUCUCAAUGUGAUUAUGUGAAUAAGACAGACAAAACAAUUGUUAAAUAAUAAAUACCAAACGCGUAUUAACAUAAUGAAGUGACAUUAACAUGAUUGUUACUUUAAACAUCUUAUAUUAAAUUUGAUAGCGUAGUGAGGUUUAUGCAUUUUAAACGUAUUUGUUACUAUUAAUAAGUAUAAUUAUGUUAUCAUUUACAGACCAUUUUAUAACUAAGAUUAAAACGUAUUCGAGGCAGAUUGGAAUUUAUCUCAAAUAACUAUGUGAACUCUUUUAUCUAUAGGUUAUACAAUUAAAUAACAUCAAUUACAAUUUCUGUUAUUUUGGUUCGACAUUAUGAUUUAACUAUAGUGGCCGCAAUGAAUAUACUGACAACAUUGCUUCAACUGCCACAUCUAUUCGAAAUUAAUAACCAAAACUGAAAAUUGAAAUAAAUAUUCUUAUCGUUUUGUUUAGAUAAAUUUGCGGGCCAUCGAAUUAAAGAGCAGUUGGAAAAUAUCAAAAUUGAUUUAACAAUCAUAAGUUUACAAAAGUUACAAAUGAGAACAUAACUUAUACACUAACCAAACUUUUUCUGUAUGCGUAACAAAGAAACUCAAAACAUCUUUCUCUCUUCUUCUUUUACUUUAACUGAGAACUAUAAGAAUAUAUCUCUGCCUUUCUAUAAGUUUACCAGGAACACAAUUCAACCCGAAACCAAUCCUCAGGACAAAGAGAAACCGUUACAAAGAUGUUACCUCGAACAGCAAGAGAAUGUCUUUGUCCCUUCGUUCUCGUUCUUAACCAAGCUAACACGAUUCACAGUCAGCUCCUCUUUGUAAGAAUCAGAGUUCAAUUGCUUUCGACUAAUGUUGCUAUAGAUCUCCCGAAUAACCAUCUCGAAAGCCGUCUUUACAUUGGUCGAGUCCAACGCAGAGGUCUCCAUGAAAAACAAACCUUCAGACUCAGCAAGACUCUUGCCUUCCUCAACACUCACCGCUCUUAUGCUCUCGAGAUCACAUUUGUUCCCAAUAAGCAUUUUUGCUACUGUUGUAUCAGAAUGAGCUGCACCAAAGAUUCAUCAUUACUGUCAAACUAACUCUAAACUCAACCUAUCACAAUUUCAAGCUCAAUAGAGUAAAGAUGCAAACAUGAAUCAACUAAUCAUUGCAUAUCUUCAUCAUUCAGUUUCAUGAUAAUCAUAAACCUAAAGAAGUAGAUAAAUUUGACUUGACUUUGAAUCAAAGUCUUAAGAAGUCAUCAUAAAUCUUCAGAUCUAAAAAUUCUAACCAGCAGCAUCACUAUCGCUAUGAUUCAAUCCUAAUCCAAAUCCAAUCUCUACUCUAUUCAAAAUCAAAACUCAGAUUUACAGAUCUCACUUCAAAUUGAAUAAAUUCACUCAAAAAUCGGAGAUCGAAACACAUACUGUUGAGCUCAUCGAGCCAGCGACCGACGUUUUCGAAAGUGGAGCUACGAGUGAUAUCGUAGACGACGAGGGCUCCAACGGCGCCACGGUAAUAAGCAGAUGUAACGGCGCGGAAGCGUUCCUGACCGGCGGUAUCCCAAAUCUGAGCUUUGACCUCUUUGCCGUCGAUGAGCAUGCUCUGAGUCUGAAACUCGACGCCGAUAGUGGCUUUGGAAUUGGGAUUGAACUCGUUACGGGCGUAGCGAGUGAGGAGAUUGGAUUUGCCGACGGCGGAAUCACCGAUGAUAACAAUCUUGAAGAGGUACUCUUCGCCUCUCUCGUCGUCGUCUGACAUUUCUCCUUCUUCUUCUUCUCUGUAACGCCUUUGUUGGAGAAAGAGAGCUUUGUUUGGAUUUUAUUAGGUUGUUUGUGAGCGCAAUUAAUGAGUAUUAUUUUGCGCAUGAAAUUAAUUCCAUCAUAAUUAACCAAAAUUCAUAUUAUGAUUUAUUUCUAUUUUAAUUUAUUAAUUAUGUAUUUUUUUAUAAGAAUCUUUUCUAAAUUGAUGAAAUAAACUUCUUCAAAGAGUACACAUUUUUUUUGUGUGUGUGUGUAAUUUACAACUUCUAAAAUAAUUGGUAACCAAGUGGAUUUUCCAUAUGAGUUUUCAAAAGAAAAAAUAAAUUGGUCUGAGUACAUUUAUUUCCUUGAAAUAAUGAAUUUGGUUCAAUUAAGGUUUUAUUUUAUAUACAUUUGUUGAAAACAACUAUGAUCCUCCUGAUGUUUUUCUGAGAUUUUUAUUCACAGAUCAAAAUUCAAAACGUAGGAUUAUAUUCACACACACAAACGCGCAUCUCUUUCAAUCUCAAAUAAUGGGUUUUGCUCUAAGCUAAAAUUAACCAACUUUGAGGAAAACAGGAAAAAAAAAAUCGAUUGAUCGAAUUUUAAGUUAUAAUAAAGGUCAAGACUUUCAGAGAGUAACAAAACCAGCCUUCAUUAAUCCAUCAUCACUUUCUUUAGACCUCCAAAAUAACUCCUUUUUGCUAUGUUUCUUUCUGUCUUAGAAUUUGGUUCGUAAGUGAUCUCCUUUUCUUCUAUACUUUAUUGCAUCAUACUUGGAACAAUAUCAUUCAUCAUCGCUUCUUGCAUGCCCCACAAGUACAUCUCUCCAUUCCCUUUUCCAGUGACUGCACAUAUAUAAGAGAUAAUUUUAAAAAAUCAUAUUAAUUUCUCCAUAUGCAUACUUAGCUUGAAUAAGACAUUGAGACCUAGACAUGUGAAUAAACGGGACAUCAGAAUCUAACCGAUCAAACAUGACGUAGACCAAGUGUAUGAUAAAUAUAUAGUAUAUAAUGUAUAACCAUCUAUUAUGCAUGAUUCUUAACUUAGAUUCUUAGAAGAGUCUACUGUUAACGACUUAACGUAUUCUAUUACGAAAGUUUUUAACAAAAUUUAAGAUGCAUGUAUGAUCAGUUUUAUUUCAACUGGGUGAAAAUGAUAUAAAUGAACAUAACGAAAACAUUUUCAUGAGACCAACGCAAAAACCCUUUUGUUAAGAGAUCAUGAGAAUGUAAUAUUUUAAUUUCACGUGCAUGACAUUUUGAUAUGUCAUGAAAUUUUCUGGAAGAAAAAAAACACGUCCGAGUAAAUGGUUGAUCCAUGGUUAUGAUCAUAUUGGACAAUAACUAACCAUUAUAUUAAUAUAACUAUUUUCUAAAAUACUAAAAUUUGGCUUUAAGGUAACAUUUUCCCAACAUAGAAGGAAUAUGAUCACCCUUUGCUUCAAUUUGAGAAAAUGUCACUUUUGCAUAUAUAGAUUCAUUUUGUAUCUAAGGACGCACCUCUACUUGGUGCUGAAGACCUUUGAUAUGCUCAACAGCCAAAUCCAACAUAUCUGCGUAGCUCGUUUGCUGCCAAAUUUUUCAAACUUAUUAUAGAUAUGUAAAACCACACCAACAUUACAUUAAAAACAGAAAUAAUAUCACUUACCUUGUCCAUAUUAGGCACAAGUUCUUGUAGCUUCUUCAGCUUCCCGCUUAUCCUCGUUCUUCUCUCCUAUAUACCACAAACACGCAAACCAAAUCAUAUAUAAAACCUAAUUUUUACUCUUGUUUUCUUUGGUUUCAAAUGAAUUCACCUUUUAAGUUUGUAUCUAGACUUAUGCAAUAGUAAUCACCAUAAUAAUAGAAUAAACUAACCCUUUCAGCAAUGCUGCGUGGGUGAGUCGCGAAGCCGCGCUUGGCUCUAGCCCUACAAGGCACCGAGUCCUCUGGGAUGUUCAUCAAGUUCUCCAUUGUCGCCAUUUCCAGAGUUGUUUGCGGCAUGCUAUACUAAAAGUCAAAACCAUAUAUAUUGAGAUGAAAAUCAAUGUAUAACCACUCAAUGAAUAUCAUAACCAAACCAACAUCAGUGAGAAUGUUUACACAAAAAUCAUUUGGUAGCAAAGGGCUUGUGAAAAAUAUACAUAAAUUAAUCAUAACCCUUCUCUAAGCUAUUUAUAUCUAUUACACAACCACUCAACUCUGGCUUCUACACACAGAAAUUUGGCUAUUUGCACUUUAUUGGCAUUUAUUUCAACUUGGAAUUCUGUUGUGGAUAUGGAAUUUAAAUUGGGCUUGUAGAAUUCAUAUUGUAUAUGACGCGCACUAUAUAAUAACACUUGUUAGCAUACAACUUGUGGACCAUACAUAUAAUUAAACACACAAAUCAUUUAAUUGCCAAGGACUUGUGAAAAGUUAUAAACCUUCUCCAAGCAGUUUAUACACAUGAACCUGUGACAUAGACAUUGCUGUUGGCAAUAUUUCAACAUGGAAUUCUAUUGCUAACUUUAUGGAAGUUAAUUAAACUGAUAUAAAAUUUCAUACGAUAUGAUAAUAUACUUUCUUAGUAUCAAGUUGUCAACCUAUUAUAGAUCAAUCAUAAACCUUCUCCAAGCCUAUAGAAACUAAUAAUACACAAAACAACUAACAUUGGGGAUAUUCACUCUUUUCUCCCUUUACCUAGAAGAAUCCGAGAUUUAUUAACUUUGUUGUAUAAAAAAAUAAUCUAAAAGUAUUGAUACACAUACAUAAAUAACCUCAAAUUAAAGUUAUAGAAAAUACCUGAGUUUCUAAGGUGAAAAAGUCGGAGUUCUUGGACCGUUUUCCGGGUUGAUCAAUGGUGAAACUGAUAUGAGAAGACGAGUUGUCCCAAUUGUUAGUACGAUUAUUUCCAAAACUCAUACUACUUGAUGCGACACCGUUUCUAGCCGCUGCAGCCGCUUCAACCUCCGAGAUUCGCGGUAGAGAAUUAUGUUCUUGAUGGCUACUACUCCCACUAGAGAAUCUCAGCUCCGACUUCAACCUCGACGGCCCUUGCUCUCCUCCUCCGCCGUAGCCUCCGUUUGGCCGUCCUAGAGAAAAACCUGUUCCUUCUUCCAUCAACAAAUUUAGAUUGAAAGAGAAAGAAAGAAUGUAAUGUAGGUUUAUAACUUGUUAUCUCAGUAUUUUAAUAACCAGUUUGAUUUUAAAAAUCUUUAGUACAAAAUAAGAAGAGAAUGGGUCGUCUUCGAAACUCGAGGACCCCUUCCUUUGUCUCUAGUCUCUCUACUUAUAUAUAUUUUAAUUAUCGCCAAUUUGGUAGAGAAUAAGGAUUCCUGAAAAAGAAUCUUAGAAAUAUUCACCAUUCGAAUUCCAAUUACUAUCAUAUACUAUACAAAGUAGUAUGUAUAUAAUAAUGCAAGAGGGGGUAAAAUUUCUUGGGGCUCGCACAUGGAUUACAGGGAAUGUGAACCGGACAUAUGCAAUGAACCGAAGAUCAAAUUGCACAAAAAUAAUAUAAAUUAUUACUUGCAACUAACACUAUAGUAAUAAAGCUUAUUAUAUAUAAUGACAAGUAGGCGUAUCCAAAAAUCAAAAUAGUGACCAUGAUCAAGCCAUGUCAGCAGGGGUAGGCCAUCAUGGCUGCUUUGUCAGAAGAAAAAGAGCAAGUGGGAUGGAUAUAUUAUUUCCAAGUGGACUAUACUUUUAUUUCUUUUUGUAACGAUUCGUUUUUUAACAUAUACUUUUGGCAAGUGUGUGUUUUAUAUUGCAUUAUUAAAAUAAACAACUUGCCACUAUUGGAAAUACGUAUUUGAUUAUUCAUGCAUGUAUAUAUACGUGUGUACACAUGUAUACAUAUGACUAAGAUCAACCAUGGUUAAUCUCUUCAGACAUAAGCUGAAAGAGAAAGGUGUGUAUAAGAUCUAGAGAUAGAUUAAGUAUUGACUAAAGCAAAUAGAUAUAUUUUGAGAACUACAUGUGUAUUAGGUUUUCAAUUACGUGGUUGAUACUUAUUGGUCUUUAAUUAAAACAAAACAAAAGUCGUAUGGAGGGAAACCAAACAAAUUCCAACCUAUAGACAAAUUACUUAAGUCAUCGAAACAAAACCAAGACUACAUGGUUUAGAUUACAGUAAGUCAAAACUUACGUGCUACACCAAUUUACUUGCCGACUUUAUCGAUGUAAAAUAACAUAUUCAUUUUUUAAAAUGUUUUCGAAUACUAAUAUGGAAUUUUAAUUUUGUUUUUUUUUCUAUACCAAAUUUGUCUAACUUAUAGGAAACAUAUAUUUAUUAAAUGUUGUAACAAAUUUUUUAAUGUGCAAAAAAAGUUGAACACUUAAAAAAAAAAUUCUUGAUAUGUGUAUAAUUGUAUAAUAUGUAAAUUAUGUCGACUAGAUUCAGCACUAAUUAAAUCCAAUUAAUUAGGAGGAGAACUCUUUGGUGGGGUGAAAAAAAAGUUGGAAAAAUAAAGAAACGAAAAAGUUACCGUUGGGAUCAGUGGGAAGAUGUUGGUCGUAGAAUCCAGCCGGAGAGCUUCUGUGUCGGAACAAAGAAGACGAAGAAGAAGCGUUGGAAUCGAAUCCGAUGGAAGAUGGCUCGCCCGGUAAAUAAUGGCCGACGAGGUUGGGAUUCUGCUGAUGCUGCUGCUGCCGCUGCGGUGGCGGAUGAUGGUGGGUUUGAGGGCCAAGAGAGGAGAAAUCACGGGUAGCUCCAGCGGCUGAGUCAUAUUGAUUGGUGUCGGCAUCGCCGCCGCCGUCAUGAGCGGUGGACUUAGAGGAAUUAGGAGGGUACAUGAAACCGGAAAAGAAAAACCCUACAAAAGCUAAUCUGAUGCUUAGGAAAAAAUCUUGAGGAGAGGGUUUGAGAGAAAGAGACUUUGAGUAGUUAUUAAUUAAUACUAUAUGAUAAUGCAAGAGGGUUACUAAUUAUAGUUAGGACUGUUAAAUUAAAUUAAUUAAACUAAGGGUGACAAAUUAGAGCGAUGGCUUGUCCUUGUGCCUUGUGGGUGCUUGACCAAGAGAGAGUCUCCUACUCACGGUCCCGUCAACGCACGUGCACCUCACGUGGUUGACAGAUGGUGGCUUGACGUUAUUUGCGAAUUUUUCUUAUAACUUAGCAUCAUUUUUCUUAUAAGAUAUUUCGUUUUAUUAGGUUAAUCUUAAUUCUAUCAAAAAUUCAAUUUUAAAUGGAGUUAUUAUUAUGUAUGACGGUAUCGAUAUAAUGAUUCCGGGCAUAUUCAUUGAUAAACUUUACAGCCUAAAAUGCCAAUUUUAUAUUCUCAUAAGAGAGAAGCAAAUAUCAAAAUGAUGAUGGACUGUACAAAUGUUAGUGAAUACAUUUACAGAGAAUCGAAGCCUUCAUUAUUUUUUGGGUGAUGAAAUUAACAUGGAUAUUAGUUUAGUUAUCGUCAAGUGGGUCAUUAAGAUUCCAUUUUGUAUUAAUAUGGGAAUCAAAUUGUUAUUUAACUUUGUACUUUAUUAUGGAUACUUAUAGUUUAUUCUGAUUUUAAAAGUCUAUUUCAUUGUUCAUGUUUUCGACCACCCAUAUGAUCCAAGAGAAAGGCAGACCAUGACAAAACAUCCAUUUUACAUUUAUACGUUUAGUUGAUUUUAUAAUAAAAAUACACAUGCACUUUUUAUUAAAUUAAACCAUGGUGAACGUCCAUUGAUUAGGAUAUAGACCUUGUAUUUGUUUUUAAACAGUUGAUUUAGAUUCCACAUUUAUGUUUAAGAUGGGCAAAGAUCCCAUUUGUUCCAUGAUGAGGAUCUUUAUGUGACUUUGUUGCUGAUUACUAUAUGUCUAUAUCUAUACUAUUGUUUCAUCAUUUCUAGGGUUAUGUUGAGGAGUAUGAACAUAUUACUUUAACGUUUUAAAUUUUGCUAACGGAUCACGUAAGUCUGUUGCGACAAGACAUUACAAGCAAGACAUGUAAGUAUAUUAUUCUUACUUUUAGGUUGUAGAAUUUCUACUUCAUACAGAAAUAUUUAACUAGUUCUUUUGAUUGUAGGAUGGAGUUCUUCUUUUUGGGCGGAAACAAAUAGAUAUCGUAACUCCACUGCAAUAUUUGAUUUCAAUCUUCACCGCAUCUAUCUCUCCGUCAACUCCUCGUCUUUCUCCUUCCAUCGUUUUCAUCAAAUCUAAAGAAUCAAAAAUUGGGUACUUGAUUUCUUUUACUUGGGCCAUCGACUAAACUUUUAUUUGGGCUUUUAUGCCUGUAUUGGGCUAUUUAGCCGAUCAGGCCUUAAAAGCUUGUAACAUAUAUUUUCUUAUCCUUUUUCAAUAGAAUAACGGUUAUAUAUAUAUAUAAAAAAAAAAAGAGUACAGAGUUGGCCCAUUUGAAUCAAUAUGGACUAUCUAUUUUGAUUUUUCAGGUCCAUGUUCAAAUAUCUUUUACCCAUGUGUUUUUUUACCUGUGAAAUUUGCUAUUAUUAUUAUCAAUUUAAAUGAAACAGAGAAGACAACAAAUUAUAUCUUUUUUUGCCGGCCAACAAAUUUUUAUCUAGAGACUAGAGAGGCGAGUUAGUUGCCGAUCAAUCUAUUUAUUUCUAUCUUUCUCAAUUUUAGAAAAUUCGGUUGGUCAUGUAAUACGAUUUUCUGUCUCUUUUUGGCGAAAGCUGCAAAAGAAAGUGUGUCAAGAAUAACAUACUUACAUGUCUUGCUUGUAUACAUGUAAGUAUAUUAUUCUUACAAAAGACAUGUAAGUAUACAAGAAUAAACAUUCUCUAGUAUAUAAAAGAAUAACCAAACUAACCGGAUUGAAAAUUUUAGAUAAACUUUGUCUCUUCCUUGUAUAAAUUGGUUUUAACCUUUCUUAGCAAAAAAAUAAAUUGGUUAACCUAACUAUAUUUUAUUAUUUUCUUGAUUUUUAGUUGUUUAUGUAGAGUGUGUAUAUGCAACAACUAACUAAUUAAGAGAUAUCAUUGGUUAUUUGAUCGAAUCACUUUCACUUCAUGACAGCUAGGUGGUUCCAAGUACGAAAUUCCAAAUGUGGAUGUGUGCUCAGCGAUUUUCUUACGUAUACACAGUUAUUGAUUUUUUUUGCGUUGUGUAAAUAUAGGUAUUUAAUGACUAUAAAUUUUUGUAUGGUAUAUGCUUGAAAAAAAAUUUAAUAAAGGAUUUUUAAUAUGUUUUCAAGACCAAAAAUUAGUGAUGAUGCGAUGAGUGGAAAUUGACUCGUUACAUUAAUUUUGGUUUCGGUUUUAGUAUUUCAGUGCAGUUUUGAUUAGAAAAAUGCUCUGGUCAUGGCAACUAAAGGUUGUCUAACUUUCAACGGGGUUAACAACCCUACAUGAAUCAGACCGAUCAUGAUUUUCUUAAAACAGUUUAUGACUCAGUUAAAAUCAUACAAAAUUUCAAAUUUACCAACCACCAAUAUUAAACUUCUUAACAACAAAAAAAAACCUAUUAUGUAUUCUCAAGUUCUAUGCUUAAAAAUCUUGCUAUUUUAAAAAAUAAUAGACGAUAAAAAUGUGAGAAAUAGUUAGAAUAUACUGUAUUAAAACCACAAUAAAAGUGAAGUUAAUAGCUCACAUAAAUUAAAUGUCGUUGAUUUACUUUUUUUCAGUCAAAUUCCAAGAUAUAUCUUAAAGUAUUUACAUAAAGUAAGAAAUAUGCAAUAUUUUGUUCUUAUAGAUACAUAAGACUAAGAAAGCUACAACCACUAAUAUUAUUAAAAUCGCUUGUAAAUGAGAUUUGGGAAGUAUUUUACUUAGUCAUAAUUAAUAAAGCUUCUAUAACAUUGCACUAGAAGUCUAUAAAGAUAAUUAACUUUAGCCCUAGAAAGGAAGCCUCUAAUCUCUUUUUCACGCCAUUUUCGGGCAUAGCCACCACCAAGGAGAUAUUGGUACUCUUGUAAUUAAUAAGAAUUCUAACAUCUUUACACUAUAUACAAAAAAAAUAUGUCACUGAUUUUUGUUUCAGUUGCCUUUAUUUAUAGUUUUGGCUUGCAGCAGUUGAUACGAAAAUUAUGAUCACUACAAUAUGUGGUUAAUAUAUAGUCAUUGUGAUAUGAAUAGUGCGAUUGAAGUUGUUUUGCCAAAAUUCUUAUUACUCAACAAAUAAUUAAAAUAGUAAAAGACUCUAGAUUAUAUGAAAUGUAGAAGUUAGAACGUUCUAAAGAAUUUUAUAUAAAAAUUAUAGGUCCCUAAGUUAAUUUGUUUUUUAAAAUCAAAAUAAAAAAAGAGGUGUACGACAAAUGCAAACGAAUCUGGAAAUAAAUUAUCUUCUAAGUUCACGUUUUCCUCAACUUUCUGACAACUGUAAGAUGCUGUAUCUUUUUAUUAAUUGGAUAAUAAUAACCUAAUUAAGCUCUGUUAAUAUGUCAUUUUCCUAGUUUAAUUUUCAUCAAAUUGUUUUUUCGUAUUAGUUGACGGGUAAGCUUUCAAGUAAAACGAGACUCGUAAGCAGCAAGGAGUUGUAUUUUUUUUUUUUUCUUGGUUUGGCAACUUCUUUGCAUAUUUUGUCAUAAUAAUCGAAUAUGAGUUAAUAUACUUUGCUGACACUUAGACCCUUUUCCUUAUUUAUCAACGACUUGGACAUCAACUAUGAAGUAUGAACUAUAUCAAAAUAUUUUGCACGGAAUAUAUUAAUAAUUACUAAUUAGUCUCUUUUAGGUCUAAAUUUAAAUAUGAAUUACGUUGAUAGUUGAAACAGUAAGGAUUAUUUUUGAAAAAUCUAUUACAAACUGCUUAAAAAUAUUUAAUAAAAUCUCUUCGUUCUUUUGAGACAAAAAAUGGAAUGAAAAUCCAUUAAAUUCAAAACAAUUCAUAGAAUAGUCAACUCCAUGUGAUAACCUUGUGAAUUUGUUUUUACAGUUACAGUUGUGAACCUUUAGUUCUUAUUAAUUUACAGCUAUAUUUGUUUGUGAUAAAUUUACACCAGUAUAUUUGAAUCAUCAUCUUGUAAGUAUAUAAACAUAUUAAAGAUAUACACUUAGAAUUCGUAUCAUAAUAGUAUAUAGUGAUGCAGAACAUAUAUGCGGUUGUCUCUUUUAGUGGACAACUCAUUCGUUGUUGUGAUUAAUGGAUGAAUUAUUCGUGGUAAAUUUUGACAAUUUAACCACAUCAAUUGGUUAAUCUCCACAAAUUGUCGGUUAACUGAUCUUAAUAUAUUUAAUUGCAAAGAAUAUCAUCGAGUCGAUACCUAUAAGAGCAUCUUACUAGGAGCAAAUUCCAAGAUAGAGCAGCUUAGUUUAUAAUAAAGUAGUGCCACCUUAGCUUCUAUAUCAUUCAUUCAAUAGUCUAUUUAGAAUAGUAACAAAAAAAUGAAGUUUUUGUUAAAUAUUUCGAAAGAAAACAUAUAACAAAAUAAAUAAAACUAAAACAAAUAGAGACCAAAAGAUGAGACAUAUGAGGAAGGCUAAGUUAGUUGUUGGAGGCUGCUGUCCGGAUUACGCCGCCGUGGGGUCCUUUAGCCAACUGUUAAAAUUACCAAUGAGCGACUUUUAUGCUCGUAUUUUUUUUUAUUUUUUUUGGUUUGUGUUACUUAUGCAGUUAUGCUAGUUUCUUAAAAAUAAAAUAAAAAAAUGAAAAUUUUCUAAUAUUGUUUUCACUAUAAAACUUCUCUGAUAAUUUGUAGGAUUUAGGAUUAAACUGAUUUUUGGAAUUAAAAACCUAGUAAAAACUGAAAAUGAUUUUUUUUGUAUUUUUGUUUUUUUAUAAUUGAUGGCUGCUGAUUGCAAUGGGGAUGUUGGCAACAAAGUCAAGUAAACUAUGGAAGUAACCGGUUGAGCCGGUGGCAUCACGAAUGACUUGACCGAAACGUGGCCAUGUGUUGCUAUAGUUAAGCAAUGUGGAAGUUACUAUCAAAGUAUGUUUGAGCACAAUAAUUCCAACAUUUUGUUGUUUAUCGGUUGUCGAGUCAUAUUUGUUGCUACUUUCAUUCAUAAAAUACCAUUUAAUUUGCUAAUUGUAUUAUAAAAGUGUUGUCAAUGAAACUCUGGAGGUGUAUAAUUUCUGAUUUUUUUGGUCUUUCUUUUCUAUUUUUCUUAGUAGAAAAUAUAAUAUAAAACGUAUUUUUGUGUGGUUCAUUAGAAGCAUAAUAUCUGAGUUUGUACGAUUUUCUUUAAGUUUUUAGACCAAUUUACAUUUUAGUGGCACAUAUCUCCAGUCUCAGUGCUAUCUUUUAAUGUUUUUUUUCACCUUCCAAAUAAAAACUUUACUCUAAACAAAAUAUAGUCAACUACUGUUAGAUGAAUUCUCUUCCAUGUGAGUGGUAGCGUAUAGUAGAAAUAUGUUUGAAAUUAUAUGGUUAUACUAUUUUGUCGUUUCAUCGCAUUUUUAUAUACAAAAAUAAAAAUACUAUAUAUACAAAAUUACAAAUUUAACCCAAAUUAAAUAUACUACUGUAUAUAUCACUUAACAAAUCUCAAUAACUAUACUGUGGUAGCCAAUAUUAUUAUAUACAUAUAGAUACAUAAUAUCUUUGUAUAAAAUGUGACUAAGGUAAACCAACACAUCACAAAUUCUCAAUUAUAUAUAUUGUUAUCAGUUAAUCCGUCCGUACAUCUAUAAAUGUAAACAUCGGUCAAAUUUCAAGUUUGUUAUGAUAUUGAUUUAUUUUAUUCAAGCUUAGAAAGUGUCGGUGAAAAUUAUCUAACUUAUAAGAUAUACUUGUUGUCUUUGUUACUCUCUUUAGAAAAUUGAAAUCGUCUUAGUUGUGUUUUACAACUAGUCAAAAUAGCAUGUUAGUUGAAUUGUAACAAAUGAUAUUAUUAACUAAUUUAUCUAGUGGCAUUUUAAACACAGUCUAAUCAUUUAUGCGCUGGGCAUUAUUACGUGUACGUCCACGCAUAUAGUUUGGGAUCCUUUCGCGUUGAAACAAAAAAAAAUCGCAAAUCAAUAUAUCGACCACUGUUACUAAUUAACGGUUUAUAAUAAUUAACUUUAUUUGAAAGUUUAAUUAACAAUGUUACGGUGAGGUACUUAAUUUUUAUUUAUGUAGGAUUUGUACCUAGAAUAUUGUCAAGUGUCAUUCGUUGAUGAAGGAAGACACGAGGCAAUUUGACAGUUUCCGGGUCUUUUUAAAUAAUUUAUAAUUCGAUUAAUUAAUGGACACAAAAUAAUUAAGUUUCCAUUAAAAAGAUACAUAAACGCUUCAGAAAUCGUACAGACAAAAAAAAAAAAAACGUACAGACGAAUAUGCUUUUUGUGUACAAAUUAUGUGAAUGCAUAUACGUAUGUAUGAAUAUAUAUAUGUGUGUGUGGUUUUCAACAAAGCCAGCUACAAUAUUUAAAAUCUCUUGAAGGAUUUUAUGUAUAGUUAACGAAUUUUUAAAUUUUGUUUACGUCUCGCUAACUUUUCUUUAAAUACCUAUACUACUUGAAAGCUUUAACUAAUAGCAUAGCUAGCCUAGGUUCGCAAAUGUAUUCUAACUAAUACCAAUCCUAGUUUUAUUAGAUGCAAAAUGAAGGACUUAUCUUGUAGUUGUAUCAUAUUGUAGAGAGACUUAUACAGUAAUUCUAAACAAGAAACUCAAGCUAAUCAUUGCCUUUGAAAAACUAUACAAAACACUAUUUGACAUAUGAAUAAGAUAGUUUUAACUUUUCAAAUAGACCCUGAUUAACGACAGGAGAAUAUUACCUUACAUGUGGUGUUACUUUUUUUUUUUUUUUGUUAAAGAACAUGUGGUGUUACUUAAAGAAAUAUUUUUUUGUAAAGGGCGAUUCUUUUGUCGUUAAGGGGGGUUUCGAUCAUAGUUUUCGUUCUCGAAGAAAUCAACUUAUUGUAUUCAUUUUCCGAUUGUAAUGGGUUCCUUUUUCUUCUUCAUUAAAUUUAAACUUAUUUAAGUAAAUUUUAAAUAAUAUGAACGAGAGUCAUAUAGUUUAAUGAUUUUUGAUUAUAUAGUUUGUCGCAAUAUGAUUAUCCGUAAUAUUUCCGACAUGAUGUAUAUUGCUGACUAAAAAUUUAUAAAAUAAAAUCUGAUUUCUUAUAAACUUGUUCAAUUUCGUUUUAUAUCUUCUUCAUUUUUAAUCAAAUAUUUUUAUUUUUUAAUUAUUAUGUGAUUUUCCGUUUCAGUUUUAUAAAUUCUUAUAUUGAAAGAAAUUUUUUAACAAAGGAAGAUUUGGGUAUAUAUAUAUGUAAAGAAUUUGCAACUAGUGUUUUAUACACAUCGACAUAUAAAUGAUGUAUACAAAAUACUUAGGGUUGUUACAAGAAAUUCUAGAUAAACAUUACCAAACCCAAAAGAUACUUUUAAUUCAGUACUGCCCUUUAGAGUUCUUUCAUGGCACGCCAUUGACUAAUGACUAGGGAAUCCUAUAACAAUUUAAAGUAUUAGUUGGUCCUAUUUACUAAUGAAUAUUAUUAAAAGGUAUAGGGUAAACUAAUUCUCUGUAAAAUUCAAGAAAUCACAAACACAUAUGUGUUGAUAAUUAAUAAUACUAUCUUGGAUAAGAAAUUUCCACAUUAAUAUUCAUAUUUCGAUGAGAGAUAUCCUACAACAUUUGAGAGUUUGGCUCUCUAGCUAUGGGGUAUCUAAUUUAUAAUUGUUUUUUUUACAAAUUAUAGAUGUUUAAAGUAAUUUAAUAACUAAUAUUAUUUUCUGGGUACCAAAUUCCAACUUUAUUUUUUCGCUGAUGUGACCGUAAACUUACCAACGACGACUAUGGUACUUAUGAAACUUUUAACACAAUAGAUAUUACUUAUAAAGUUUUUGCUUAUAUACUAUUUUACAUGGACAUUAAUUGACUGAUACAUGUGACCAAUCUAAGUGCAGAGGAUUUAAACACUUUAUCAUUAGAAAAUGAUAAUAUUAUUUUGGUUUAGGUUAAAUUAGGGGAAUCCUUGGUGUAUCACAAUUUAUUUGUUGGAAAAGUGUUUAUUCGCACAUGUGCUUUCUUGCUAAUUCUUUUCAAGUUCUAGCCACCCUUUAACUUUAAUAAUUGAUAUUGCUAAAUUCUAAAAAUAUCAUAACAAUGCAGACACUUUAAAAAUUAAAGGAAACUAAUUUGUGAAAUUUCUUUUUCUUUUCACGUGUUUACAAAAAUCUCAUCCCAAAUAUUGAUCAAAUAUGCAACUUGUAUAAAACAAGAAUUAUUUGAACUAACUAUAUGAGCUCAAACUAAUUGACCAGUCUAUAUAUGACCUCUUUUCUUGUUUUAAAAAUUCCAGCAUGUAUAUGAUUUUUGUAAGGAGAAGUAUAUGAUUAUUGAUGGGCACUCAAAAUCUGAGGAAGUUUGAGAUACACAAGUGGUGGGAGCGAAAAUAAACUGAAGUACAAUUUUUCUGCACCUUCUUUGGGAAACAUAGAUAAUUAUACUUGUUUUUUAUUUUGAAAUAGUUAUACUUUUUGACGACAUAAAUUAUUCUUUGCAUGAUUUAAAAUUUCAACCUACAUUUAUGCUUGCAAUUUCGUAAUUACUUCCGCCUUUAUUGCUCAUCUUUAAUUCUGCCUUUUCUUGUCCUUAUAGACAUAAACAUUUGUGUGUUUGUGUGUGACAGCAGUAUUUCCCUAUCUGAAAAACAAGAAUAUUUUGAUUUAUUAGUAGUUUGAAUUAUGAAUUGCAAUUAAGUUAUGAUUAGGUAGUGAUAAUUAUUUCUCAUGGGGUAGUCCUUUUCUUCAAAUCUCUUGUGGCGAUGGUUCGUGUAUUAAAUCGUCAUGUGCCAUAAUACCAUUAACCUAGCUGUAAUAAUUUAAUGUACCGUUAAAAAGGUUACAGUUGCUCUGUCUAUAUGUUAUUACUCUUAGCCCCGUAUUAGCUCUCAAAGCGUACGACCACGCAAAAGCCUGCAAUGCCACUAAUUAAGUUUCAUUCCACAUGCCAUAUAUCUUCUUUUGUCACGAUUAUAUUUCCCAUAAUUGAGAUUUCACAUGCACUCUAUAGUUUUAUGUCGUCAUGAUAUACAUACAUUGGGAAAUUAUACGACCAAUACGAGUAAACGAAAUAAAAAAUGAAUGGUCAAUUAUAUGACACAAUUCAAAUUCUAAACGGAACUAAAUUUUAGCCUCUAUGGUUAUGUAUACUAUUAUUACAGUCGAUAAGUGUGAAGCGAGUCGACGCGGUAUAUCAUACACCGAUCGAGCCACAACACGCGACCUCUCAUUAUAUUAAAAUCACAUUUUUAUGCCACAAAUCAAAGUCGUUGUUGUUAAUUUGGUUUAAUUGAACUUUGUAUUAUAACUCGGUUUAGUCUUCAAAUACAGCUGUCUUCCUAUUGAUCGCUUUGUUAUCUUAUGUCAGCCAUUUUAAGACAUUUGACUUUACUCUCAUAAUCAUCCUUUUCUGUACAUUUAUUUGAUUCUUACGGUUCUAAUUACCUUUCUAUAUAUAUGAUAUGUUUUUGUCAAAAGCAUCAAGUGUUUUUGUAGUUUAUAUUUGUAGUUUCUAAGUUUAUGACUUUGGAAAAAUUAGGAACGUUCUGGCACCACAUUGUAAUAUGCAUGAUCGGAAAUUUUGUGGUCCUCUUGCCAUAAUUUUCGCGCACCAACAAGUGUUUUUAUAGAUUUCGUGUAAUCGUUUAUUUUUGAAAUAUUUUAUAGCUUUCUGUUGACUGUAUAUUUGUGAUUUAUACGCAAUUCUUUAACAUAUACAGAAACAGAAUGUCGGUAAAUAAAAAAGAAAUUAUAUAAUCGAAAAUGAUUGUGGUAGAUGUCAUCGUGAUUAACAUAGCUUAACUAGCAUCGAAUAGCAGCAUGUAAUUUAAAAAUGUUUCAUUGAAAUAUAUGUGUGAUUUUCAAUCAGAAUUAGUUUGGCUUUAUUUCAAUCUGGUGGUUGGAGAUUAGUUUUCUCACACAGUGGAAAUUUCCUGAUCUAUUAUCUUGUUUAUUAUAAAACUAAGAAAACCAAUAAUUGCCAGCUAAUAGCAAAAUUAAAAAAAAACUAUAGGAAAAAAAUAACGAAGAUAUAGAAUUAGUCCCUAAAGAACAAAGCCCACCUCCAACGACUACUUUUUUCACUAUAAAAACAACUCUUUUCCAUGCAGAAACACAAUCAAUCACUUCUUCUUCAUCUUUCCUCAAAAAUAAAAACAUUUUCUCCAAUUUGUUCUUCUUUAAUAAUUUGGAGAAAAAAAGUCUUAGCUAAGACUGAACAUUAUCCGGUGAAGAAUGGCGACUCCGGCAUGGAGUCAUGCCAAGGCUCAAUGGGUAGUCGCCAUGUUGGCGUUACUCGUUGGCUCGGCUAUGGCUACCGAACCUUAUUACUAUAGCUCUCCUCCACCACCGUAUGAGUAUAAAUCUCCACCUCCUCCGGUUAAAUCUCCUCCACCGCCUUAUGAAUAUAAAUCACCACCACCUCCGGUUAAGUCUCCUCCACCACCGUAUUACUAUCAUUCACCGCCGCCGCCAGUGAAAUCCCCUCCCCCUCCUUAUGUUUACAGCUCUCCUCCUCCUCCGGUGAAGUCCCCUCCUCCCCCAUACUACUACCAUUCACCGCCUCCUCCGGUGAAGUCUCCUCCUCCUCCAUACUACUACCAUUCACCACCUCCUCCGGUGAAAUCCCCACCACCACCAUAUUACUACCAUUCACCACCUCCUCCGGUGAAAUCCCCACCACCACCAUACUACUACCAUUCACCUCCUCCUCCUGUGAAAUCUCCUCCUCCUCCAUAUUAUUACCACUCCCCACCUCCUCCGGUGAAAUCCCCACCACCACCAUACCUUUACAGCUCUCCACCACCACCGGUAAAAUCUCCCCCACCUCCUGUCUACAUCUACGCUUCUCCCCCACCUCCCACACAUUACUAGGCUCAUCAAAUUCAACAAAAUUUCCCCAUUAUUCAAGUAAGUCCUAUACUUAUACCUUUACCUCAUAAUCCGUUUUAAUAAUUGUGCCCUAAAUAAAAUCGGAAUUUCUUCUUUCACAGGUUU
RNAcentral lists this long non-coding RNA (61412 nucleotides) under Arabidopsis thaliana (thale cress). Its description in RNAcentral is "long non-coding RNA (ATHA_LNC000044)". The stretch from base 37835 to 37920 matches the Rfam family "Small nucleolar RNA Z122". The record is from RNAcentral. Lineage: Eukaryota; Viridiplantae; Streptophyta; Magnoliopsida; Brassicales; Brassicaceae.